This 78115-nucleotide long non-coding RNA is filed under the name Sorghum bicolor (sorghum). RNAcentral's name for it is "long non-coding RNA (SBIC_LNC001708)". Lineage: Eukaryota; Viridiplantae; Streptophyta; Magnoliopsida; Poales; Poaceae. The record is from RNAcentral.
GGAUAGACGGUGGGGGUUACACGUUUGACCGGCGUCAACUCCUACGUACUACGAUCGAUGUGCCUGCAGCCUGUGCUUGCAUUGCGUUCUUGACCCUGCACGGCCGCCGGAUCGAUAGUCGUCUCUCCUGCGUCCAUGCGUUUCUGCAAAGCUGGCUACUACUCUUUGAUGUUCCAAGAGCUAGCGCGUCUUAAUUUGUUCCUAGGCCUUGUUUAGUGGUGAAAAAAAUUGAGUUCUGUCACGCUAAUAUUUUCGUUUGUAUUUGACAACUAACUAGGCUAAAAAGAUUUAUGUCACAAAUUACAGGCAACAGUUAGUUUUUAUUUUCAUCUAUAUUUAAUAUUUUAUGCAUACGUCUAAAAAUUUGGCCCCGUUUGAUUCCUCUUAUUAAAUUUUAGUCGGCUAAAAUUAUUUUAACUACUCUUAGGUAACUAGUGGGACUAAGCUAUUUUAGCUUCUUUUUAGUCGGUGUAUUUAGAACUUUAGCUACUAAAGUGACUAAAAUUUAGUUAACUAAAAUUUAGCAAAGAGAACUAAACAAACUAAUGUGAUGGGAAAUUUUGAAAAAAAAAUAAAAUUUUAGGGUGAACUAAACAAGGCCCUAGAGUAGCGUGGUACUUUACGUACGUACGUGCCCAAUAUACAGGUCUAUUUGUUUAGAUACACCCAAAAACCCAAAACUUUACAAUAUACCCUGUCACAUCGAAUCUUGUGGCACAUGCAUGAAGUAUUAAAUAUAGAUAAAAACAAUAACUAAUUGCACAGUUUACCUGUAAAUCACGAGACGAAUCUUUUAAGCCUAGUUACUCCAUAAUUAAACAAUGUUUGUCAAAUAAAAACAAAAAUAUACAUUCAAAAAAAAAUAAAAACGAAAAUGCUACGGUGUCAAAAUCCCAAAACUUUUUGCAGUUGCCGUACCACGAAGCUUAACCGACAGGAGAUCUGCAAUCAUUGUCGAACAUGAGAUCAGUUGAUCAUCAAGAGAUGGAGCUGGAGACUAGUACGUCCUAGUUAAUCGUCGGCAGCUAUUUUGAGUUUACAUACUCCCUCCGUUUCUAAAUAAUAGUUAUUGUUGAUGUACGUUCUACAAGUUUGAUUCAAUUUUAGUAAAUAUAUGCUAUAUUUGUAUUUCUAAAUAUUUAAAAAAAAAAACUAGAUUCAAAAAACUUUUUAAUAUGUAUUUUAAAUAUUAAUAUUUUUUAAUAUAUAUUUAGUCAAACUUGUUUCUCAAAAAAAACUUAAACGAUAAAUAUUUAGGAACAAAUGGAGUAUGUCCUGUGCAGUCACGUGUUCAUCGGAUGGUGAAGAUUCGUCGUGCCUCAGCAUGCAUAUAUACUCCCUCUGUUGUAAAAAUAAUUGCAUUUCUAAUAUUUGAAAUUUGUCUCAAAAUAAGUGAACUUUUAGAUGUGCUUUACCUAUUUCUAUUAGUGUUUUUUACUUUCUCUACUUCCAAAUUGUAAUCAUUAUUACAUAGUGAAAUAGCUUUUGGUAGGGGUGAAUUAUGUAAUUUUUAAGUAACAUCGAUCUUCAAUAAAAAUUCUAGAAAUAUAUUUAUUUAAAACUGAUAGAGUAUAUAAAUAUAUAAUUAGUUAUAUAGACGAAGACCCCAUUUAGUAUGAAUGCACAAAUUUUUAGAUAAUAUACAGUCAAAUUAUAGGUGGAACCCGCCAACACAGUGCAACAAGCUUAUCUAUCAACUAAUAAAUUAUUGGCAUAAAAAGUGUGAACCAUCUGUUUUUUUUUAGAGGAAGAGAGAACCUUCUUUGAUGUUGGUAGAGCUUAGGGCAUUGAGGAUGUGCCCACUCUAACCAGUGAACCAUCCACGUCUUCCAACGGCGUAUCCCCACAUAUAUGGGUCCAGGCUACCCCACGCUUUUUGUCCCUCCGGGCCUUUAAGCCAAUUGAAACCAGUUUGUAGCCACCACAAGCCUGCAACCAGAUCCUAGUAGAGAUCGAGUCAUGACCGAGCUAGCUAGUCACAACUUAAUUAGUUGCAAACCGAUGCAGAAUCAAAGAUUACUUUAUGCUGUUUUUUUAAUGUCAGAAGUAGAUAAUUAUUUAGAAAAUAGAAUUUAUCCAGUGGUCAUUAUUAUCAUCAGAGUCGAUGCAAAAACCACAACAAAAUGAUGCAUGCAGUAUGAGAAACUGUGACCACAAAAGCAGAUUCAUACUAAGGGCUUGUUUAGAUCCAAUUUUUUUUUGGAUUUUGACACUGUAGCACUUUCGUUUUUAUUUGACAAACAUUGUCCAAUCAUAGAGUAACUAGGUUUAAAAGAUUCAUCUCGUGAUUUACAGACAAACUGUGUAAUUAGUUUUUAUUUUUAUCUAUAUUUAAUACUCCAUGCACGUGUCACAAGAUUCGAUGUGAUGGAGAAUCUUGUAAAGUUUUGGGUUUUUGAGUGCAUCUAAACAAGGCCUAAAUAAAAUAACAUUCUUGCUGCAAGAGAAGAGGAAGGAGGAAGGGAAAAUGAAGGUUGUCACGGGAGUAUCCAGCUCAGGGAGUCAAACGUUUUUUUUAUUAGGUUGGCCCAUAAGAAGAGUCGAAUACCACUAGAGAUUAAAUAAUGGAAGGCAUACGUGUUUCGGUGAGUCAACCCACCACUAAGAAUUCUGCCCUCAAUAAUGUUGAGUCAUAUCUAUAUAAAAUUGAUGGGUAUAUAUUCUUUCUAUUUUUAAGGAUUUUUAGAAUUGUUUCAAAUUAAGUUUUGUCUCAUAACGGUUGACGUCGGAGGCUUUUCAUUAUUAGAGACAUAGAAUUUGUAACAGUUCAGAUGCUUGCAUUGUAAAACGUACGUGCCGGUCAGGAUUCCCCCCUGGCAAAGCGCCCCACGCCUGCCACGCAAAUCCACCACCACCGCAGCGCGCGUAUAGUAUACGGUGACUAGGUUUUCCGCCACUGCGACGACACAUAUAUGCCAUGACAUGCCUGCCGCGCGCCUGGCGCUAGCGUCGUCGUCGUACUCGUGCACCCGCCUGGCUCCCUGCCGGCCGGGCGCGCGGCCCCGGCUGGCAUGCAUCCAUUAUGCCCAGCACGUACGAUCGUCGGCGACGGGGAUCUCCACCGCCGUGUGUUCUCGCUCUUUGCUCCUUGAUCCGAUCCGCGCGAGAUUCUACGUGUCCGCUCUAUCUAUCACGCCCACUAUUAUCUGCUGGAGAGAGUAGUAUGUGCAUAGUAAUUCGAAGCUUUGUGAACGGGUGAAAGCUAUAGACGUGAGGCCGGUUUUUUCAUGCCGGCGUGGAUCGAUGAGAGGUCCCGCUAGUAGCUGCGGGCCAGGGGGUUAUCGUACGCGCGCGCGGGGGCAUCUGAUCAGCUAGCUGGUUCUGUUAGCCCUAAACAUGUGAGUGCCGGGCCUGGCCAUGUGUCCAUGUUCUCUCAUUGUCUUUUCUCUGAGUCUGAGCUGAGCGAAAAGUACGCCACCUGCUAAUCUUUUUGCUUGGUCUCCGGCGCAUGCGUCCACGCAAAAGACUACAAACGCUUGGCGGGAGGGAGUUUUUUUUUGGGAGAUUGCCUGCCCAUGACCUAAUUGAUGGAUCGACAAGGACUAGCGGUCUGUAGGUAAUUACCCUGCAUGCAUGUGGCACUACCGUGCUACUAUAUCCUAAUAUAAUGCAUGUUCGUGCAGCAAAGUGGACGUACGAACUGGGUGGUACGGUACUAGAAUCCUAUAUGCAAAUGUUCGCGUCUUGUCAUACAUGCAUGCAAUCAGAUCAUACUAUGUAUCAUCAGUCUCCAACAAUAUAUAUUUUCUGUUCUAUUAGCAAGUAAUGCAUAUAGCCAAUACACUAACCAUUUUGUCUAAAGAGAAAAGCUAGGGUAGCAAGCAAUGAUUGAUGCAUGACCAAUGAAAAACAAAGGUACCGGCCGGCGCCGACGGAGUAGCUAGGAAUCUUUUUGCCGAGAUCAAUGUUGAAAAGUGGAGCGGCGUACUAGUGUUCCAUUAAUUGGGGGUUAUUAGCUAGGGAAGCUUUCUAGCAACAAGCUUCAGAGAGAGUCGUAUGGCCAGGGAGCCCAGGAUUCAGGAGUCGUAUCAAUCGUAGUUACGUACUACUAGCUUCUGGCGAUCAGAUAUCCGCCGCCUAUAUAUAUAUGUUUCUGUUGGCGAUCACCUGUCCUUUCAUUCUACAUUAGAGAUCGGCGAGUGCGCCCGUAGCUUAUUGACACUUAACAAUAUAGCCUUCUUGAAAUUAAGUAAUUAUUUGAACACACAUAUGUUACUCCCGUAGAGUGUGCCCAAUACUACUGUUUUCUGAAAACACAAAAGCAGCAUGCAUGCUAGCUAACCUGGCUUCUAGUAGCUAUAGGGUAAGAUCCCAUUGGAGAGAUACAAACGCGCGGAAAGCGUCACAUUAUGUAGGACAUGAUGUAGUGCGCGAUCGAAAUUGCAUGCAUGGUCCUUGAGACAGCAUCAUCAAGUCACGAAACUUUUCUUGCUAUUGGAUUGAUUUUAACAGCAGGUGUACCUGCAGAGAGAUGCAGCUGUACUGCUCGAGGGGAGCAGCCGGCCGGAAUCCCACAACAAGAUAGCCAGAACGGAACCACCUGAGUGCGAGAUGAGAUCCGGACCGCCGGCCGGCCAGCAGCAGGCCGCCCCUCGUGAUUUCAAGCACAGCCUCUCAUCUCUGCUGUCCAUGUCUGACUCUCUGUUGUACUGGAUCUCAUCGAAUAUUAUUUGAAUUCAAUUUUUAAUUUAUAUCCAAAACUGCGAUAAACGUACUUUGAUUGAGCGCGGGGCGGACUUUGUUCUCGUACGUCUUCGUUCUAGCAAAAGAAAAAAAAUAAGGAAAGUAUUUGAUGAUCAGUAUAGAUUAUCAAUUGCUAUUGAUGAAGUGUCGUCGUUGCUAAAUAGAUCUGUCCUUGUCUAAAUGGGUUGGAUCAAUGGGACAAAUAAAUCAGCUCCGAAGAAAACAACCUUUUGCCAUCCUAGCUAUAUAUAUACUAUUAAUAUUAUUCUUUUGAAAGAAAAAACACAUCCAAAACCCCUCCUAGCAGAUUGAUGGUGUUCCGAGUAGACUGUAUGCAAGUACUAGAGCUAGUAGCUAGGGGACCAAAUUUAUGAUCAACUUGCCACUUACCAGCAUGGGAUGUCGACCAAAAGCUUGAAAUAAUUCUGACUAGCUCUGGCCUUACCUUUACACCUGGAACUGUACCCUGUUAUUCACAUAAAUGUCAUACACUAAUAAGGAUGUGUUUAGAUCCCUUCAAAAUUCCAAAAGUUUACAAGAUUUUUCUAUCACAUCGAAUCUUGCGGCACAUGCAUAGAGCUUUAAUAAAUUAAAAAUAACUAAUUGCACAAUUUACCUGUAAAUCGCGAGAUGAAUCUUUUAAGGCUAGUUAGUCUAUGGUUAGACAUAUUUGUCAAAUACAAACGAAAGUGGUACAGUACUAAAACCCUAAAAAAAUUUGGAUCUAAACAAGGCCUAAAAUAUUUUUUAGACUCUGCAGAGACUACACACUUCACUACACACGUAAUUAUUUAACCUAAUAAGAUGAUAGUUCUAAAUAAUAUACUAAACCCUAGGAAAGUAGUUAGUUCAACUGAAUAACCACAUGCCUCUAGUUAAUUAAUAAUUUAGUGUGUACUAGGGUUAUCAUAAAUUAAGCAGGAGUUCCAAAAGGAAGUUCCAACUAUAUAUAUAUAACCAGUUCAAAAGAAAAGUUCCAAAAGACAAUAAGCAAGAGUUUACAAGGUAUUUUUCUGUUAAUAUUAAUUAUACCUACUGAAUGAAGAUAUAUAUGUUUUCUUAAUAGUCACUAAUGUCUUUGGACAUGUGUACUUUCAACUAGGAAUGCUUUUGAUGAUGUUGUUCCCAAAAAAAACAUAUAUGAAGGUAUUAUUUAAUACACAAUAUCAUAUGCUAUAGUAAUAUGCAAUGUCUUGAAAAAAAUUGUUAACGGGAUCCACCAAAGAAAUAUAUAUUAUUAACAGUAAGUCCAUAGCAAGCAAAUUAAACUCGAUCAAGAUAUGCAUGCCAAUCACAAGAUCAGUAUACUCUUUGCAUGCAUAUAUGUUUUUUUUUUUGCAUGCAUGGUUCAGCAUAUGGGCAUGGGAUCUUUUACAAAAAUAUGUCAUCUGCAGUCUGCCCAUACAAUUAUUAAUUCCUUCCAUACAAACAUAUUUACAUUGACAUAUAGGACCACCACGCUUUGUCGUGCUAUGUGUUUUCUGCACAGUGGGUGCAGAAUCAUGCAGUGAAUAAAAAGGACCGGAAGAAGAUGACCAAACAAUUUGCCAGCCCCACGGAGGCCACGAGUGUACGUUGCAUGCAUGCAUUUUUUGUGUUCUCCCCAGCCUACAAACAAAUGCAUGACGCAUCUACAAGAAAGUACAGUUCCCAGCCCUGCAAAUUUUACGUUUUAACUAUAGUCCAUGCACAUUUUCUACUGUGGCCUGCUGAUCCUCGAUCUAUCCCGAUCUAAACCCAUGAGCUGAUCGAGCAGAUAGAUGUGUAGAUAUAUCUAUGCGCAUUGAGUUGGAUCGUCGGAAGGAGGAGGACCACACAAAUAUAUUCUUCAGGGACAAAACUCAGGACCGCUCAAUACUUUCGUAGGGCCGCACUGUGCAGUGCUUGUCCCGAAUCAGCAUUGGCACUAUAGCUCACUAUGACAGUGCAGUGCACACACGCAGACACGCGCGCUAGACGUCUGGAUCGGUCUCUGGUAGAUUUCUCGAUCGCAUUUUCCUUUUCGCAAGAUCAGAGAGAGUGCAGCAGCGCCAUCGUUUUUCUCUGUUCCGCUCUCACUUCAUCCCAGUGUUCUACAGCGUCAGGUUUGGACGGUAUUUAUAUAUUCUUUGUUUGCUUUUGUUAAUGAUUAUAUAUAAUAUAUAUUCAGCAAUCAUGCAUGGGGGUCUGGGGGACAAGCCAAGAGCAAAGUGACACACACACACCACGCGCGCGCACACAGCAGCAGCAGCAAAUUAAAAGGGCUACUGGGCAACGGGUACUACUUCUAUACAGUAGUGUGCAAAUCUUGGAACCACAUGCUUAUCCAGUGGAGGAACGAUUAGCCAGGGGCCAUCAUGUGAUAAGAUCUGGACGAUCGAUGUACGAGCAUGUCGUGUGAUUUUGAAGGAUUUCUUAUAUUAUAUAAUGAGGAUCGGAGCUGGUGGAGACCGGAGAGGCGGAAAGAGCUCACAGUGUAAGUUCGUUGUUGAGGAACACUCAUGCACUUGGAAUGUCGUCAUCGGUCACAUUGCUGGAUGUGGGGUUGGUUUCUGCAAAUACCAAUGAUGAGUUAGGGCUAUAUGUCCUGAAAGGUGAAUAAACAUGAUAUGAAAUGUUGAGAUGAUCGAGCAUGCUCUCAUCUUAUAUAUUGCUUCGUUCUAGUUGGUGGCCCAAGUGAAACAUCCAUGUGUGUUACUAAUCUUCAUCAUCAGGCACGUAAAUCUAUAAAUUUUCACAAAAGUCUGACAGAUUUGGCCAUGAACUCGAUAGAUUAUAAUUCCAAUUGACAAUAAUAGUCAUUGGAUCUAUUACAUUUUCAAAAAAAAAAACACCUCUACCACUUGCUCGCCUAAAUUACCCAACCUCUACUACCAAUCAUAAUCUAAAAUAACCUCUAGAUUUUCAUCUAAACUACCACCCUACAGUUACAAUAGAUAAUCUAAAUUUUUCAUCAUAGUGCUUGGGAGAGUGAGCAGAGCGUGACGUUUUUUUAAGGCAACAUGUAAGUCACCAAAGAACAAGCCAUCCUAUAUACCUUUAUCACUUUAGCGAGGAUUUUAUAUGUACCAAUAGUUUUUCAUGGCUAGAUCGACAACAGUGUAUAGUUAGUUUUUUUCUUUCUAUGUAAUAAACUUGGUGUAUUUCUUCCUUUUAGAGCAACUAGCAAAAUGCCCAUGUGUUGCAAUGGGAUUUAUAUAUCUUGUACCAUUUGUUCUAAUCCAUUAGAAUCAUAGAGCUCAUUCCAAAUCCUCAAUUGAAUAUAUCAAUAGUUUAGUCAAAAUCCUUGAGCAUCCAAUCACUAAUUUCACAUAAAGAUCGAUAGCAUUAAGACCAAACUGAUAUCAAUAGUUCAGUAAAAAUCCUUAAGCAUCCAAUCACUAAUUUCACAUAACAGAUGAAUUCAAUAGCAAUUAUUUUAAGAUCUCACUGCAAGCAUAUAUAAUGUCUAACAUCCUUAAAUCUACAACAUCAUUCCAUCAAAUAAGGAUUGUGGGUUUAUACUGAAGAACUAAAAUUUUAAAUGUUAAAAAGUAGCUAAACACAAGAGAAUGACCUUUAAGUCAGACCGAUGAACUGGGGAUGCAGCUCGCUGCCCCGUGUGGCACGCCGUCUCCUCUGGUGGCCGGUGCCCUGCUGCUAAGCCAUGCCAGAUGGAGGGCAGCUCGCUGCUGCUGCUCCACACUUCCAUCCAUAUGUCGGUCCAUGACAGCUCGCAAGAGGGAGCAGUCUAGCUGUGUGGGCUAUUCACCAGAAUAGAAGCCUCGUUAAUUUCACAUGAGCCACUUUAUCCUGCAGACCUAUCUUACUCCACGGUUGUUGUGGUCCGUUGGAUUAUAGUGAACAUUUGAGAUCAGCAGGAACAAAAUAGCAGCAGUUGGCCUAACUCAAACCCUAGCUCAUUCUCUCUUUUCUGUGUUUCUCUCAUGAGCAGCUGCUAGGAGUUAACGACGGUGCUCUAGUUGUUGCUUGGCUACAGGAGCAGAAGGUGGUGCCAGCGUGGGCCCACUCGACGGAGCGCAUGCGCGGCCGAGGCUGCACGCGGUGCCGUCCGAUAAUGUAUUGUAGCAUGUGCCUAGUCAGUUGUGUUUAUCUUCUACCAUUCAAAAGUGCUUUAAGAUUCGUGCUGCAGUAUACUCUCUCCUUUGUUCAACACUUUUUUUCUCAGUGUUUUGCACUCUCUUUCCUGCUGCACAUAUCUCAAAGUUGUUUAGAUGGCUAGGAUAGUAGCUGCUGAACAUGUACUAGCAAAAAAAUCGCGUUUGGUGCCGUCGAGCAACUCCCCACUGGCAACCUGGACACAGCGAGUCAUGGUCUUCCACAACAGUGACAUUUUCAGCGCCGCUGCGACCAUCUCAUGGUGGUUGUACCCUGAUCCGCACAACAGUGGCUGUGACAGCAGCGACCAGAUCAAAGCGACGGCGGCAACACCCUAAUUCACAUGCUGGCGAUGGCAUCCUUCAUUUGCGACCUUCCACCAAGGUGGCGUGCGCUCUGUAGGACAUACUAACAAUGACGUGGCGCCUCUGGUUGGCUGUGGACGUCGGUAGAAGAAAUAGCAAAUUUAUUGUUUUUUAUUUUAUAUACGGUACACCUAGCGUCCGGACGUCCAGACGCGAUGUCACGUCCGGACACGGCUCCAAUAACUAUGCCUCUCUCGUGUCCGCAUCAUGUCCCAUGUCUAGGCCUCCGCAUGCCGUCCCGAGCACCUACGCCUACGUCCGUAGUAGGGACUCGCACCCCAUACCCACCCAUGUGCCCCGCAAAAAAACACGGCUGCACCCCGAGCAGCAACAACAACGCGUCCGUAGUAGUGAACCACAACAUGUACCCACCUUGCGCCCCGCUCGCAGAAAACCACAGCUGCACACCCCCCCCCCCCCCGAGCAACAGCGUGUCCGUAGCAGGAAACUGCAUCCCGUACCCACCCUGCGCCCAACACACGGAAAACCACGGCUGCGCCACCGACUGGUAGCAACAGCCACCGGUCGCGCCUUCCAACACUGCAACAUGCAGAUCAAAAUCUUUGCAACAUAUGUGUAAAUCAGAUGAAACAUUUGCAAUGUACAAUUGAAACACCAUUGCAAUAUUGUGCAACCAUCCUGAUCCAAUUUUGAAAUAUCUAGAUGUAAUACCUGCAACAUAGUGAAAAAGACAAUUGAAACACUUCAGACAAGCAUCUAAAACACUCGCAAAAAAUACGUGUAUAAAAACAGCUGAAACACUGAAGAAAAACACUUACAACAUACAUGUACAACUAUUGCAACAUGUGCAACAUUUUGAUCUACUUUUACAACAUCUGCAUGAAACAACUGAAACAUACACAUGAAAACCACUGAAACACUUAAAAUAUGAGCUUGCAACAUAUCACAAAAAAAGUCAAAAACACCCGAAACACAUGAACAUCGCACGGCCAUGACUUGGUGGAACCUACGGUGGCAUAGGCUGGCUGGAUGGUCCGCCCAUACGCCCCUGCCAUGCUUGCCGUUGGCCAAGGGAGAGGAGACGCUGCCAGAUCUGGAGAGGACGCCGCCGACCACAGUAUGGGAGGGUCAGCAGCUUGCUUGAGUCCGCCGGCCACACACCAAACAACUUCCUCAAGCCCGCUGGCCAGAUCCGGUGAGAUGCGGAUAGAGAUGGAACACGAUGGGUAACAGCGGGGCGCGCAGUGUGCAGCAAGCUGGAGCGGGCACGUCGGAGCUUGGAGCACGCUAAGGCGACGAAGGAGUGCGCGGUGCUAAAUGAAGAGCUACACGCCGCUGUAAGGGCGGCUGGUAACACCAGCCGCCCCUACAGUGAACACUGUAAGAGUGGCUGGCUUCCUCGUUCCCGGCCCAGCCACUGUAAGAGCGGUUCAAAUGCUAGCCGCCCUUGCAGUGUGGGAGGAGGGCGCUCUCUUAGUAAGUUUUUCACGUAGUGUGUGACCAAAUAAUAAACAUUGUUUUUCACAAAAUAGGCUAUACAUAGUAAACACAUAAACCAUUGUGAAAUAUGCAAAUAUGGAUAAGACUUGGAUCCGAUAAGGCUAGCUGCUACGAAUAUUAUUCAGUUACCAAAAAAAAAACUUUCAGCGGUGUAGUCGACAUGCAAGGCGAUGAAACGCUCUUGUGGGAUGUUAUCAUGAUAUCUAUCAGGUCAAUUUUCAGGAUGUUCUUAUAAGGUGGUAAAAUAUGUGUCCAUCCAUAGAGGUGAGUGUGUACAUAUAUACAAUGCAAGUGUUUACAUCGCUAUGGAUCAAUGGAUUACAAACCUUACUUAGCUUCGAUCUGGGCAGUUUCUCUACUGCUCUUCUUUGUUUCCUUUUUUUUUUUCCUAAUUCUGCACAGUACUUGGUGCUUGGUGCUGUCUUGUAAACCUUUUUGUAACCUCUGAACUUUGUUUUGUCUUUCUUUAAUAAAGCCUUCCUGCAGGGGUGCAAACCCCUCCAGUCUAUUCAAAAAAAAAACUUGUCAAGCAAAAUAAAGAUGUUUUGUAUUUUCUACAUUUUUUAGCAGAUAUCAGGAGCUAGGGCAACCGCGCUCCUCAUAUUAUUAUUGCGUGACAUGACUGAAUAACAAAAGGUCGAAACAUGAUCUGGGCCUUGUUUAGUUCUCCAAAAAAUUUGCAAGAUUUUUCAGAUUCCCCAUCACAUCGAAUCUUUAGACAUAUACAUGGAGUAUUAAAUAUAGAUGAAAAUAAAAACUAAUUACACAGUUUGGUCGGAAUUGACGAGACGAAUCUUUUAAGCCUAGUUAGUCUAUAAUUAGAUAAUAUUUGUCAAAUACAAACGAAAGUGCUACUAUUCCUAUUUUGCAAAAAAUUUUGGAAGUAAACAAGGCCCUGAUGGUCAGGGGGGCAUCUUUGGAUUUCGAGGCACAAUAUGUAUCAGUAAAAUGCGCCUAAAUAAGGCUCCCUACUAUAAACUGAUCCUCAUUACUUAUGAACGGAAACUAGGUAAAUUAAUUAAACAUGCAUGUGAUAGAAUUCGCAUAGCAGGGAAAUGGUAAACGUACAAAUGAAAGUGGCCUUGUUUAGAUACACCUAAAAACCCGAAACUUUACAAGAUUCCCCGUCACAUCGAAUCUUACGGCACAUACAAGAAGUAUUAAAUAUAGAAAAAAAAUAACUAACUACACAGUUUAUCUGUAAAUCACGAGACGAAUCUUUUAAGCCUAGUUACUCUAUAAUUAGAUAAUGUUUGUUAAAUAAAAACGAAAAUACUAUGAUGUUAAAAACCAAAAACUUUUUGCAUCUAAACAAAGCCAUACCCCCUUUUGGUUUCCGAAAUGUCCAGGCAGUAGCGUGAAAGCUCAUCGCCUUUUGGCCCAGGCCCAAUAAAUAUUAUUCAGACGUAAAACACACACAACACAUCCCCAGCAUAUUUCCUCCAAAUUAAUCACAACUUCUGUCCUACGUUUGACACGAGACCCUUGCAUUCAAUGUUACCUUUUCAUUCAAUUUGUAGUAUCUUUUUAAUUUACUUAUUAUCUUGUUGCACAUCCGUACCCUUAGGGCACUCACAAUGCAAGACUCUAUCAUAAAGUCCAAGACACUUAAUUACAUAUUAUUUAUGGUAUUUUGCUGAUGUGGCAGCAUAUUUAUUAAAGAAAGAGGUAGAAAAAAUAAGACUCCAAGUCUUAUUUAGACUCCAAGUCCACAUUAUUCGAGGUAAUAAAUAACUUUAGACUCUAUGAUAGAGUCUGCAUUGCGAGUGCCCUUACUUGAACUCUUCUCGUUCAUGCUAGGAUAGUACCUCAUAUUACGACUUUACGAGGGUAUUUGAAUCUAUGUAUUAAAGUUUAGUCUCUAUCAUAUCGGACAUUCGGAUAUAAGGUUACACAUGAGCUAAAUUAUAAAACUAAUUGCACAGAUAAAGAUUAAUUUGCGAGAUUAAUCUACCAAGCCUAAUUAAGCCAACAUUAACACAUAUUUACUUUAGUUAAAUUAUAUACUAAUUAGGUUUAAUAAAGCCGCCUCACAAAUUAGUCCUCAUAUGUACAAUUAGUUUUAUAAAUAAUCAACAUUUAAUAUCCAAAUUAGUAUCAAACAUCUGACAUGAGAAACUUUGACGAACUCAAUAUACUAGUCCCUACUCGCUAGUGCUCCGCAUUUUUCGAAAAAAAAGCAUUAUUUUUAUUUUUGUGAUUUUUCUACGAAAUCGAACCAAUUUCUAGAUACCUAUUAUAUAAUUUAGGCUUUGUUUAGUUCUCAAAAUUUUUUGGUUUUGGGUACUGUGGUAUUUUUGUUUUUAUUUUGCAAUUAUUGUCUAAUCAUGUACUAAUUAGACUCAAAAGAUGAACUCAUGAUUUUAUAGAUAAACUAUAUAAUUAAUUUUUAUUUUUAAAUAUUUAAUACUUUAUGUAUGUGUCGCAAGAUAUAACGAGAAAUCUUGAAAAUUCUUUUAUUUUUGGGUGAACUAAACAAGGUCUAAGGGCCUGUUUAGAUCCCAAAUCUUUACAUCCUAAAAUUUUUGGCUGUAAACUUUACAUUCAAGUAGGUGUUUAGAUGCUUCCUAAUUUUUUUGUCUGCAAGACACAUGACACGGAUACCAAGCAAGUUUACACAGUUUUGGGGCUCCAAGGUCCCAAGUUCCAAAUCUUUACAGCCAAGUUUACAAGCCCCUGUUUAGAUCUAUUCUUCCAAAAAGUGCUCAUUUCUCCAAAAGUUUUGGUUUUUUGGCUGCAUCUAAACAGGCCCUAAAUGCUGCAUGUAUCAACAAACUCGCUUGAGGCCUUGUUUAGUUCGCAUUUUUUUUUUGUUUUUGAGUACUGUAGUAUUUCGUUUUUAUUUGACAAACAUUGUCCAAUCACGGAGUAACUAGGCUCAAAAGAUUCAUCUCACAAAUUACAGGUAAAUUGUGCAGUUAGUUUUUAUUUUCGUCUAUAUUUAAUGCUCCAUGUAUGCGAUUAAAGAUUCGAUUUGAUAGAAAAUUUUGAAAAUUUUUGCGAACCUGAGUGUACAAGCAACAAGGGCGCCCAUCUUUAGAGGAGUUGACCCAGCCUAGCAGCCUACGAUGUCCAUUCAUGUCUCUAUGAACUGGAUCGAUCGUCUCGCGUGCUAGUGCAACCAAGGGACAUGCGUGUAUUCAGAGUUUCAGACCGAGAAACACAGCGCAGCAAUUUCAUACGCCGAAGCUGGAGCAAAGUAUACCUGCACCAUCAGUCCGAUCCAACGCUGACUGCAUGCCGCUCAGAUCAGCCUGCGUCUGCGCCGGCGCCGGUCAAAUCACGGGCCGCAACGGCGGCUCUGCACUGCGCCGGGUCAGAAUUCUGCCGCGGCAAAGGGCUGACACGCGCCACCUUUGCGUUCCCAAAGCGUCAGGGACUCAGGGCCCAGCCGUCUGGCGGUGACGCGAAUUUGGGCCUGGAGGCCUCGCGACUGGGCUAGAGUUUUAUCGGCCCAUUAUCUACAGAAUGUGUUUAUCUUUAUUCUCUAUCUCUAUAUAAUAAUAUGGUGAAUGUCGGAUAAAUAAAAUCAGGCCUUGUUUAGUUCACCCCAAAAACCAAAAUCUUUUCAAGAUUCCCCGUCACAUCGAAUUUUACGCCACAUGCAUGGAGUAUUAAAUAUAGACGAAAAUAAAAACUAAUUACACAGUUUAACUGUAAAUCACGAGAUAAAUCUUUUAAACCUAGUUAAUCCAUGAUUGGAUAAUGUUUGUCAAAUAAAAACGAAAGUGCUACAGUUCCGAAAACUUUUCAGUUUUCGGAACUAAACAAGGCCUCAGUGAAUUUUGCACCAAAGAAUCUUGCACAUCAUUGAGCCACGUAGCUCAAAAAUACUAGCCGUCUGGUUAUGAUCGUAUGGUCCAACUAGAAAAUAAUGUUUCUAUUCUAGAGGUUCAUCUUGAGACAUGAAGUCUUCCUCCUCACCUUCUUUGUUGCUCACCCGCAGCACCAUAUAACUGUAACAGAUCCAUUGCCCUUAUUUGAAAACAUGUUAUGUGAGACAUAGGGUUGUUUGAUAACACGUGCAUCGAUUUUAACAUCUUUGGUACGGUGGAGAAAAGUCAUAGGCUACUCGAUCAAUGAGGUUCGUUGGACUGUCCUAUAACCUUUUAGAACUUACUCAAAAAGUUCUGAAGUUUAGGGUGGUUUAUCGAACCAUGUGACAGUGAUUACUGUGUCUAAUGGAUUACGGUGCAUAAGUUCUAAGUGAUUUUGUGGGUGAAAACUGCAUCUAUGGUUCUUUCAUGUCUAUGAGGUCAUGUAGAAUUGCUCUAGGCUCAUCGAUUUUGUGGGUGAAAAGCACAUCAAUGUACAUUGUUGUGUUUCACAAAAACAAUAGUUAGGAGAUCUUUAGGUGAGAAACUAGCUAGAUCUUGGUUGCUGGGGUUUAGGUGACUAAGCCACGGAUUCGACCCACCAGCAAUGUAGAGAAGAGUUAGUUGGAGCAUGUCUUGAAGUGGUGGUGGCUUAUCCAACUUUGUCCUCUUUCUUGCCUUCUCUUCCUUCUAGAAAUCUUCUCUCGGACCUUCCCAUGCUAGAUAGAAAGGGGACCUCCAUGUUUAAUCUCUAGCAAUAACACCUCCUUAGAUCUUCUAGGCAUCAUGGAUGCUCUUCUUGCUAUCCUCCCUCCUUUGCUUGGUUAGGUUUCUAGAUAGAGGAAGCAAGAACUAGAGAGAGAGUGAGGGGAGGGGCUCAUGUUGGCUUGAGUUCAUGAAGACAAGAUACUUUUACUGACAGGCGGGGGGCAGGGGAGUUUAGAACUUGAUAAGUCACCGCUCUAUGCAUGGCUGUGAUCCUAGACCAUCCAAUAAGAUUCAUCGAACCGUCUGAUAAACAUCGUAUUUGUGCAGACUGAACUAGUCUAAACCUAACAUUCACAGACCGUCCGAUGUGGAACAUCGGAUUAUCCAAUGAAUGACAAUAGAGCCCAAAAAAUACAGAAAUUAGCAUGCAAGCUUUUGAAAUUUAAUAUUUAAAUGAAGGUGAGGUGAUGCUUGUUUUAUUAAUCAAGAUGGCAUGACCAGGUCGUGAUAGUCUUGUAGUAAGCAUAGAUUGCUUUGGUGCUCAUUUCUUCGAUUCAAAUUUGCACGUCCGGACGCGACAGUGCUUGCUUGUCUAGUGUUCACAUUUUGUACACCACCUGAUGGUUCGGUGCUCCUUUUCUCAAUCUCGGACCUACACGUUACAAAGUUUUAUAGAGGAUUGUCCGGAGCUCACUAUUUUACCACUGUCAGGUGGUCUGGCAUAUGCAAUUUUAUUGUAGGCUCACCCGAUCAACCACCUGUGCAUUCUACAUAUUUAGGCCUCGUUUAUUUGCGCAGAAUUCAAUCCCGAAGCUGUUUUCUUUUGACCUAUGAAUGAGUAGAUCUAUAUCUGUCACUCAUUCUAUCAUAGGAAGCCGAUUCAGAUGGUAGGAGGUCCGGUUCUAUUCCGGAUUAAAAAAAGACCGUGGCAAUCCGUUGGGAACAGGCCCAUGAAUGGGUCAAUUCAGCCAAAACGAAUGAGGCCUUAGUGAGUGGUCAUCUUCUAUACUAACAUUGUUUUUCCCACUUUGUAACUCUUGAAGCCGAUGCCUAUUUUCAUAGAUGAGCAUUGAGUCAUCGCUAUCACAUUAUUAGCUCACUCCGCUCGUCUCUCGCUGUUGUUUUCUUAGGGUGCAUUUAGUUUCAAGUGGUAUCUCGUCUGCUCUUGUCUCGUCCUGCCGGCGCAAUCAUGAAUAAGCUUGGCCAACUAGGCGAGCGGUUUUGAUUCUCUCACAAGAGCAAAUUGAACCUUUACAAACUCUAAGACAUGGAGACAAAGAGAACCAAACUCACUUAAAGUCCUAGCUUAACAGACAAUAUAUAUAGUGGCAUGCAGAUAAACCAAACACGCUUUUAAUGAGCCAAGUUAGCAUUUCAGCUUGUUAACAUAAGAGCAUUUCCAAGAGACUAGGUAAAAUUAUAUUUUAAACUAUAAGAUUUAGCCAUUGUGUAAAAUAAAAAACUCACUCAAAGCAUAGAGUUUUAUAACAGCCUUUGUAUAUGAUAGCUAGUGAGGACGACAUACUAUAUAUGACAAGCGAAAAUUUAGGAAUAACAAAUUUGUUAUUUUAGCAAACCAGAUAGCACACCUGUUGGACUUUAAUUUUUAAUUUAAAAAUGUAAAAAUAGCAUAGAUAAUAUGGAUAACGUAUUUGUUGGAGUUGCUCUAAGUGGUUUGCGAGCUUAACGGACUGAGUCGCAAACAACAACGCCCCAAUAGGGUAAGGUCUUUUUGUUUGCUUGGAUGAUUUUGGCUCAUUUGUAUGAGCUCAGCCAGCGCAGAACGAGUCUGGUCCAAUAGGUGCAACUUGUUGUGUUUGUUUGUAUUUGAGCAAAAUUCAGUGCCAUCUUGAAUUUGGCCGACGGUGUCAUUCAAGUCUUUAAACUUACAAAGUGAUAUAUGUGAGUUCUGAAAUUUGACAGACGGUGUGUCUCUAAACUUUCAAGGUGAUCACCACAUAUCCCUAAACUAGACGUGCAAUGUUGUUAUCUUAGUCCCUGAACUUUCAAGCUGGUCACCGCAGGUCAUAAACUUGACAAACAGUGUCGUCCCUGUCCAAAUGUAACAGUAUUGAAAGUUACUUAUAACAUUAAAGUUUUUUUUCUAUUUUAAGUUACUUCUAAUUUUAGUAUUAUCCUAAAAGUUUAAUAGUAGUAUUAUAGAAGUAACUUUUCUCUAUUAUUAAUAUUAUAAUACUAUAACACUAUUAUUAAAACUUUUAAUACUAUAAUACUAUUAUUAAAAGUUUUAAUACUCUAAUACUAUUAUUAAAAUUAGUAUGGUAUUAUAGUAUUAAUAAUAACGAAAAGUUUCUUCUAGAACCUACUAUGAAAAUUUUUGAAAUAAUACUAAAAAUAGAAGUAACCUUUAAUAGAAAAGUUUUAAUACAAUAUGAAUUUUAGUAUUAUUUUAGUACUAUUAAUGAUACAUAAAUAUUAAAUUAAUUUUAGUAUUUUUCUAUUUUAGUUUAAACCUAAUAUAUUUGUUGUUGUAAAUUAUUAUAAUACUCUAAUUUAUUUUUUGCUGAUUUAAAUUAUCUUAUAUAAUUUACAUUUUCAUGAUAACUAUUACAUAAAUAAUGAUUGAUUAUUUAACAUAUAUUGGAUCCACGUGUCUAGCGUAUAGUCAGCGUGCCACACGCCAGCUUAUAGAUUAGGUAAGGUCAAAUUUGGACAGACAUCGCUUGCCAAAUUUAACGACAUGCAGUGAUCACUUUAAAAGUUCAGAGAUAAGGAAGACACCGCCGACCAAGUUUAGGAACUGUGGUGAUUACCUUGGAAGUUUAGGAUUCUAGAUGACAUGCUCUGUUAAAAUCAAGGACUCACGUAUAUAACUUUAGAAGUUAAAAAACCUAGAUAAUAUUGUUGGCCAAGUUCUGGGACGGAGGGACAGACAAUAAAUUUUGCUCUUUGUAUUUUUCUGGAGAGGACUAGAGGAUCUCGUUUAUUUGCCUACUAGAUGCGAUCACUUGGGAGGAGCAUGUUGAAGAGUUACACCCAGCUGCAGAUUUCUUUUCUCUUCUUUUAUGCAGCAAGCAGGUUGAACCACUGGCGGACGCAGUAUAUGGACAUGGGUGUACAGAUAUACACCCAAUAAUUUUGAGAAAAAAAAUUACAGGCACUAUACAUUUGUAUGUAUUGUACAUAUAAGUAGACCAAAUUAUGUAUAUUUGAGCCAAGUAAAGGAGUGUUUGAUUGGAGGGACUAAAGCUCAAUAGGUAUUGUAGCAUAUUUGUAACUAUAACAAUUAAUGUCUAAUUAUACACUAAUUAGGCUUAAAAAAUUAUCCCGCAAAUUAUUCUCUAACUGUGUUUUUAGUUUCAUAAAUAGUCUAUAUUCAAUACUUCGUGCAUAUGUCCAAAAAUUCGAUGUGAUAUAGACUAAAGUUUAAUAUGGUAACCAAACAGGGCCUAAGAGUAAAAAGGUCACGUUUCUUGCCUCCUCGCCUCCACCAUCUAGUUGGGUCUGACUGCUAGCUCAAGAAGCAAACUCACGGGGGAACCAACCAACCAGGAGUGAUGCCCUCUGCUCGUCCGUGACGGUGCCUCAAGCACUUGCUCUUCCUACUUGAACUCACCGUUCCCAAUUGACCAAAAAAUUUUGUUCCCCACCUGCACCGCUCGGCCACCUAGGGUUUGAUUUCAAUGGCAUUGGCACAAAGUCGACACCAGUAGGCGGCACGACAGCCGCACAGAGAACACACCAUGACACAAAUAAAUUUGUAAUGUUCCUUUAUCAGUUGAGACUUCACAAAUACUAUGUAUUAACUAAUUAAUUAUACGAAUGUAUUUUAUACUCAAGUACUGUUUGUUUUAAAUUGAUGGACAUUUAGUACAUAGUAUGCUAUAAUGGUUUGGUUCUUAUGUGUAUCUAUAUACACCAUGUACACCCAAUCUUCAAUUCCUGCGUGGGUUGAACGUCGUCCUCCGAACAACAGAUCACCGCCUAUGGGAGGUGACGGUAACGAGCAACAGCGACGGGGAGAGCCCAGAAAAACGAGACCCAUUUUCGUUUUUCUGGGCCUAGCUCCACCCUGCUUUAUGAACCGCGCGGGCCGGGCUCGUCGAAUGUACUAAAAACAAACAUGUCGUCGAGUUUUUUUUUUUUGACAAGAAACAAGGCUAUAUUAAUUAGCAGCAGGAAGCUGCGAUAAUGUUUACAUGAGGCAAGUCUAUAGUAAAUAGAGCUUGCAAAACAGAGCAGAUUGUACCACAAUGCACAGAAGAGCAAUGGCUUUCAAACUGCAAGGUAUCCGAAGAAUAAGCCUGCCUAGCUAGAGAGUCAGCUGUGCUAUUUAAAUUUCUGUGGAUCUUGUGUAAAUAUGACUGCCUAUUAGUCACACAGUUAGCAAAGAUCUGUGUGAAAGGUUUGAUGCGCCAGUCAGGUGGGUUGGUGAUGUCUUCCCUGUUGAGAAAGUAAACAAGUUGCUGGCAAUCCGAUAAGAAGUGACAGUCACUAAUAUUCAUUGCUUGUAAAAUUGUGGCCGCAAGUGCAAGACUUGCCGCUUCAGCCAUGAGCACCGAGGAGCUUGUAGAAAGUCGCGCCUUUAUGUAGAUGGAUUGAGGCGGCUGAACCUGAAAAUUAAGAAUAAAUAUACCUAGUCCAGCUUCCGUGAGAUGAGGGCUUUGGAGGUCUGGAGGUGCCGAGGCAUCAACAUAGCAUCUUGAUCCUUGGAGUAGCAUGGGAAACGUUACUUCGUUUUGUUGUUGUCGAGGCAAAGAGGCUGGGGACCGGACAGGGUGCCUGUGAGCUGCAUCGAUCGUCGAUGUAUUCUUGGCGAGGAACACUUGAGAGUGCAUAGUAAUGUGGGCUGCCACCGCAUUGUGUACCUGAAAAGGAUUCCAAUCUUUCCCACGGAAGUGAUAAUCAUUUCUAGCCUUCCAUAAGUACCAGAGAGUGAAUAAGAUCCUUGCAAAUAACGGUUCGGGCGUUGCUUGAGUUAUGAUAGUUUGCAAGAUUAGUUGUACUCCAUCAACUUCGUGGGGUAGGUCCUCUGAUCUGAGAGCAGGAGAAAAAGAAAGCCAUACCGCACGAGGAAGUUGACAAUGGAAGAAUAGGUGGGCGUCAUCCUCAAUUGCUCCACAGCGGUCGUUGUGUCCGUCGAUGUGGUUGGAAAACCUCGCAGCUCUAUCCGCUGUGGCGAGAGCCCUUCUGAUCAGUCUCCAGGUAAAUGUUUUGAUAAUAGGGGGAAGGUGGGAGGAUUUCCAGGUACGUUUGAGGAUUUGAUUGGUUUGAGGGAGGAUGCUGCGAGAACCUUGGGAAGGUAAUUGAAUAGUAUUGAGGCUAGAGAGGUGUUUGUAGAUUUCUUUGGUAGAGCAGAUACCAUUUUUAGCAGGUUUCCAACGAAGGAUAUCGUUAUUAUUGGCAGGAACAGGGUGAAUAGAGGCAAUUUGGUGAGCAGCUUGAGCGUCAAAGGUAGUGUUUAAAAGCUGAACGUUCCAGUUUUUGGAAUUGGGAUGCCAGAGAUCAGAGGCUAUUGCAGGUAAAGGGGUGUUAGUAACUGGAAGGAGCAAAUGGUCAUGGAUCUUUUCCCAAACAGGGCACCAAGGGGUUGACCAGAUAGAGGAAUCGCCUGAGUGGAGCUGCAGUUCAGUGUUGGUGGAGAGUUCCUGUCUGACCUGAGUAAUAGAAGACCAAAAAACUGAUCUGGUACCAGUGUUAGUAGCUUUCCAAAAGGAAGUGUUAUGGAAGUACUUGGCUUUAAGAACUGAGGUCAAAAGAGGGUUUUUAUUAGUGACGAUAUUAUAAGCAGAAUGUAUAAUGAGGCUCUUGUUAACAGUGUAUAAGUCCCUUAUACCUAAACCCCCAUUGUCCUUGCUUUGACAGAUGUCAUCCCAAGAUCUGAAAGCAAUAGGGGAGGUAGGGUUGUCUUCCUGCAUACCAGCCCACCAAAAGCGUCUGAUGAUAGCUGUAAUUCUUUCAAUAAAAGAUUUGGAAAAAAGCACGGUGGACAUAUAAUAAACAGGUAUUGAGGAUAAGACCGACUGGAUGUAAGUUAAACGACCAGCAUGAUUAAGUUUGUUUGCUUUGACUGUAGUGAGCUUGGCUUGGAAUUUAUUAAAGAUGAAAUCAUAAGCCUUGUUUCUAUCAUUAUGGUUAAAAAUCAUUGGAUGACCAAGGUGCAUAGUAUUAGGAAGGAGAUCAGGUACAGGAAAAAUAUUUUUAAUAGCACUUUGCAUGGAUGGAUUAACAUUCUUACUAAAAAGAAUUGAAGAUUUCUGUAAGUUGGGUACCUGUCCUGAGUGAGUACAAAAUCUUUGAAUAGUUGCUUGAAUUGUAGUUGCGUCCUGAAUAGUUGCUCUGCCACAGAGAAUGAGGUCAUCUGCAAAGAAAAGGGAAUGGAUUGGGGGACAUCCAGGUCCAAGAGUGACCCUUGUUAAAUUGUCAUUUUGCAUCUGUUGUUGCAAUAGAAUGGAGAGUUCAUUGAUGGCAAUAAUGAAGAGGUAGGGAGAUAGUGGACAGCCCUGACGAAUUCCUCUAUGAGACUGAAAACCUGCAGUAGCUUCACCAUUAACCAAAAUAGAGAAGGUAGGGGUUGAUAUGCAUGCAUGAAUCAAAUGAAUAAAAUGGAGAGGCAUUCCCAGUCUCCUAAGAGCUUGCAUAAUGAAGUCCCACUCUAAUCUGUCAAAGGCUUUUGCUAAGUCCAAUUUAAGUAAGAAAGCUUGAUCCUUCCAAGACUUGAGAUGGAAAGAGUGAAUGAUCUCCUGUGUAAUGAUAAUGUUAGCUGAGAUAUGCCUGUUUUUGAUGAAAGCAGCUUGGGAGCGAUCAAUAUAGUUAGGCAGGUGAGGUUUUAGUCUGUCAGCUAAGGAUUUAGCAAUUAUUUUAUAAAUGACAUUGCACAGGCUAAUAGGGCGAAAAUCUUGUGGGGUGAUAGGCUGCAUUUUUUUUGAAAUUAGAGCUAUAAAAGUUUGGUUAAUUUCAGGUUGCAUGAAGCAAGUGGAGUAAAAAUUAGUUACCAAAUUAUGAACAUCGUUUGCAAUCCAGGACCAUGCCGAUUUAAAAAAUGCCGCAUUCAAGCCAUCUGGUCGAGGAGAUGCAUUACUUCUCAUGUCCUUAAUGAUGGCAUGUAGCUCUUGGAUUGAUGGUGUCGAGGUUGUGAACUGCAUAGGGGUUGUGCUCGCCUGGUUGUGAAGGGACUGAUCUCCUUCAGUGGCGCUGCUGUCAAUAUUAUGCAUCUCUCGAGGUCUCUGUUCCUGAAAAAGAGUAGAGUCUUCAUUGUUAGAGGGAUUAGAAAUCCUUGCGCCUGGUGGAGUGUUGGUGGAGAAAAUAUUUUGGAAAUAGGUUAACCGGUCAAUUCAGACAAACAAACGGGCCUGUGACCCAAUCCAAUUUCCACUAAGGCCUUAUGUAGUUCCGAAAAGAUUUCGGAUUUUGUACUGUAGCAUUUUUAUUUGUUUGUGGUAAAUAUUAUUCAAUCAUAAAUUAAAUAGGCUCAAAAGUUUCGUCUCAUAAAUUACAGACAAAUUGUGCAAUUAUUUUUUGUUUUCUUCUAUAUUUAGAGCUUCAUACAUGUGCCACAAAAUUUGAUGUGACAGAAAAUCUUAAAAAGUUUUUGAAUUUCAGGGUGAACUAAACAAGAUCUAAGUUAAAAGAAAAAAAUCCACUUAAAAAAAUAAAAGAAAAAAAAUCCGAUCUCCAGCUGCACUGCAGGAGUCGAGUGCCGACCAGUCAACCGUGAGGCUGCUCCGUCCAGUCGUCCGUCCUCUCCCUUCCCUCUCAGGCCCGCUCGCGGCUCGCACGUAGCAGUGUCGCCGCCUCGCCGGGGACGACGGAUAUCGCAGGCGCCGCACCCCGUUCCCAUCCUUGUCCGCUUGUCAGAUCAGACCCCCAUCUGGCCGUUGGUACCCCCCUCUCUCUCACGCAGCCCAGCCAGGCUCGCACGCAGGCAGGGGCGGCGACCGCGACCGCGACCGCGACCCGCAAGGCGCCAAGGCGGGCGAGCCCGCCGAGGCGGAAGGCGCCUCGAGAUCUCCUCCGCGCGGCUCGCGGGUCAGAAGCAGCAAGUCGCAUUUGUAAAUUCAUCAUCGUCCCCGCCUGCAAAAUAUCUGCCGUGGCCUCCUCGAUUACCUUCCAUUCUCUGAAAUCCCAAUUCGGCAGUCCCCCAAAUCGCACGCCCCCACUGCUACGUUCCCCCUUCGAGCGCGCGCCCAGUUAGCCCCGUCCGCGGCCGCGGGUUGACUCGCAAUCGCAAGCGUCUAGAUCCGGGCUUCCCACCUCCGACGACGACCGCGCAGCCGGCCAACGCGGAAGCCCCGCGAUAAAUCGCUGUGCCCCAUCCUUUGGCGUCCCCCACACCACCGACUUCACCGGAGCAGGAGGAAGCGUCUGAAAGGUGAGAGUUCCUAUCAUCUGCUUUCUCUGGGGUUUUCGACCCGUUUCUGCUUCAGGGCAGGUACCGGAAAAACCCUAACUUGAGGCUUGAGGCGACGCCGCUGGCGCUUUGAUGGCCCGCCACCACUUGGGAGGUUUCUCGGCGACGCCUCCGUGGGUUGAUGUUGUGCUAAUCAAUAAUGUCCUGCCAUGUUCAGGCUGCGCACGAAACUGCUACUAUGCGAAGUGGCUAUCAUUGGUCCUGACGGGAUGCCCUCACCUAACAAUUGACGCUCUUUUCUUUUCUUCUGUCCAUGGCGGCCUUUAGUUCGUGCAGUGACUUCUUGCGCUAGCAUACGACGCAUGCUUCGGCGAGGUGGCUUCAUGUUUUUUUCCAUUGUUUUGUCUUUGUUUUUUAAAACAGAUUCGGCAACGCUUCAUGUGCCUGAUUGGUUGGUUGCGCGGGCUCGCGAGGCCCUAGCACCGAGUUCAGGGAGCACUUCGUGGGCUUACAGCGACUUGUUCACUCGUCUUGAGGUGCUGGAGCUGUCACGUUGUGGUAGUUGAGAGGGAUCUGUCCAAUUUGCAUAGUUGCGAGGAAAGGUUCCUGAGGUAUGCUGUACUUGUUUUCUUAUUAGAAACUAGCUCAUCCCAUUAUUGUGACCUUGUCUAAGUUGUCCUCCUUGACUUGGACAAGUGCUUAGGUAGUAGAAUAGGUCUUGUUGAUAUUUCUACCAUGUCCUGUCAUCCUAGCAACCUAACAUGCUUGUGACGUGCCCCAAGCUUGUUUGACUUCCCUGGCUGUCAUAGACCAACGCAUUAUAUCCCCACGAGAUUAGUUGAUAAGGCUAGCUGCUCGGUGGCCGUUGCAUGUCUUCCCUCUUUCUCUUGCCACCUUGGGCAUCUUCAGCUGCCUUAAAAAGAUACAUGCUUCAUACCUAGAUCAUUUGGUGUUCAAUUUUGGUUUUAAGCCAUGGCGAAUUCCCGGAUUGGACGUUACAAGGUAUUUGUCAAUCUUUGCUUGGCUACUUUGGUUCUUUAUAGGUGGCAUAAUUUGAUCUUCUUCUAAUUCUUCCAUGAAGUUCUGCUGCCUCAUCUUGUGCCUUUGAUUUUGUCGUGCAACUUAUUUGAAGUAUCUGUUGUCUGCCUUUUGUUGUUUGUUUCAUCUUGUUUUGUUUUGGUUUGACCUUCUUGAGCCUUUACCAUGCUUGCUGGUUUUGUAUCAGAAAAUUUUGAUUGGAUUCAAGCUUGCUACAGAAGAUAAACAGGAUGGCCUAACAUAUGAACUUAUGAAUCAGAGAUUUAAUUUCUUUCUAUUAUUCUCAGAGGUGUAAAGUUACUCGAUAUUGGAUUAUUUGAUAGCACCAUUUGAUAAAUAUUGUUUCUUUUAUUCAGUAAAUGAGUCAUGACUUAGAGUUGAUUUCUUAUUUGGCAUAUAUGUGUUGGAAGGGCAUCCUUAGAAGUUCAUACCAAUCCCAACUAGGAGUGCAUGAAAAUAUGCUUUGUUCUUUAAUCCCAACUAGGAGUGCAUGAAAAUAUGCUUUGAUCUUUAAUAUGUGAUGGUGAUGAACUCUUUGUAGCACAAAUUAAUGAGUAGUACAACUAAUUCUGGCAGGCAUGAAUAUAUUUGUGAGGAGUGCUGAUAAUCUCAAUUGUUACUGUAUGAAAUUUGAUUGGAAGAUGUUGAUCUAGGGGCUGGGCCAAAAUUUUCAAGGCUCUGUAUAUUUUGUAUUGUGCAUAGUUUUUGGGCAUUCUUCUGGAUAGUCCAUUACUACAUUAGUAUCUUGUCAGAUUUACAUCGAUAGAGGUUUUAAGGUCCAGUUGGCAUCAUCAUAUGUCAAAAUAUGUGUUACCCUUGCCCCUUGGCAUUAUAUGAAUGACAAGGUUGGUUAAAGAAUUAUCUGGGUUGUCAAACAAUUGAAAUUUCAUGGGGUGAAAGGUGGGCAAUCCUAUUUAGAGGACAGCAAUAUCUGACCCACCCUGCCCCCUUGUACUAAUUUGUUUGCUCCUUUUGUUAUGGUACAGUUACAUACUGUAAUGGAAUAGAAUAUGUGAGAGAGUUCAUUAGCAAUAUGGCAUGCAUAUUACUAUCUUCAUGUGUAUUUGUGGUUUUCAAAUGCUGUUGACCUGCCUGUUCCCUUUACCAUGGUUGCAGCCUUGUUUAUUAGGAUUUAAAACUCCUACAUAAGCAAGCAAUGUGAUGAACAAUGUCUGUCGUCUAGCAUUUUAAACCAAAUGCAGUUGAAGAAUUCAGUGUCUCAUAACUAGAGGACUAGGAUUUUUUUUUCUCGAAUGCACAGGAGAACUACUCAUCAUUGCAUUAAGCAGGAUAUAAAAUAUUUACAAGACAACAUGCUGCACUAGCUCAGAUUAUGAACUGGGAUCUGUAUUUGUAAUGGUGAAUAAUUCAUUUUAUUGUAUCAUAUAAUAUGGUAUUAUGAUAUGAACUGAUGAUACAAUGAACUGUAGAAAGAGAUUUGUACGCUCUUAUCCUUUUACCCUUCAGCAAAGUUCUUCUAGGAUGGUCACUUACUUUCUUUACAUUCUAGUAUAUGGAAUUUGGAAACCUAUCCUUAAAAUCUUUACUAUCUGCUUCAUUGAUUUUAGUGUGUUUUUUUCCCUUGAACAUGCGUGCGUGCCAGAGUUUGUUCCAUAUGCUAUAGUAGCUACUCAUGAAUCUUUUUGAAGAUUUAGUAAUUGUAGUUUGCAUGUUGCAGAUGUCUAAUCUCUCAGACCCCUCAAAAGAAGAUACUUCACCUGAAGGUUCAGGUACUACCCAGAGAACUGGAGCCUGGAGUAACACAUUGAACACUCUUCUGCAGCAAGCCUCAGUCUAUGGUGUGGCUGCCGGGUAUUGUUUAUCAGCGUCGCUGCUCUCCAUCAUCAACAAAUGGGCAAUCAUGAAAUUUCCAUAUCCUGGAGCCCUGACAGCUCUGCAAUACUUCACUAGUGUUGCUGGAGUUCUCCUAUGUGGACAGCUCAAGCUCAUUGAGCACGACGGCCUUAAUCUGAGGACAAUGUGGAAGUUCUUACCUGCUGCUGUGAUGUUCUAUAUCUCCAUCUUCACAAAUAGUGAGCUCCUGCUUCAUGCCAAUGUGGAUACUUUCAUUGUGUUCCGCUCUGCUGUGCCUAUAUUUGUCGCGAUUGGGGAGACGCUGUAUCUUCAUCAGCCAUGGCCAUCACUCAAGACAUGGCUUUCACUUUCCACAAUACUUGGUGGAAGUGUGAUCUAUGUUUUCACAGACAACCAAUUCACUGUGACUGCUUACACCUGGGCAGUGGCCUACCUAGCAAGCAUGUCCAUUGAUUUCGUGUACAUCAAGCACGUCGUAAUGACCAUUGGGCUGAACACAUGGGGCCUUGUGCUAUACAACAACCUUGAGGCUUUGAUGUUAUUCCCCCUUGAGCUCCUUAUAAUGGGAGAAUUUGAUCAGAUGAAGGUCGACAGCUCCAAUGUGUCAAACUGGCUUUCAUUUGAUGUGGUCCUCCCUGUUGCUCUCUCAUGCCUGUUUGGACUAUCGAUAUCCUUCUUUGGAUUCUCCUGCAGACGGGCUAUCUCUGCUACUGGGUUCACAGUGCUUGGCAUAGUGAACAAGCUCCUAACUGUUGUGAUUAAUUUGCUUAUUUGGGACAAGCAUGCCUCUUUUGUGGGUACCAUUGGGCUCUUGAUAUGCAUGUCAGGUGGUGUGCUCUACCAGCAAUCCACCACGAAACCAAAGGCACCCAAGGCUGAGCCGAAGGAAGAGAACGACGAGGAGCAGCAGAAAUUGCUGCAGAUGCAGGGAGUGCAAGAGAGCAAUUCAACUCAAAAGUAAAGCUCUUCAUAAACCUUACAAGGAAGUUCCUUUGAUGCAUUAUCUCCUUUGCAACAGCCUCACCCUGAACGUUUUUGUAUUGGCUAAUAUACUUGGAAAGAAGCAUAUGGAUGAAUGCAGUCCUGGACUAGGAGCUACAAAAUCUUAUGUUUUAGAUAUUAGAAGUCAUGGAGGGGACCAAAUUAUCACUAUGCAAUUCUUUAUAACUAUAUUGCUGCUUUCAUUUGUAACGCAAAAUUGUUAUGAUAGGAUACCAGGUACUCAGCAAAUAUACCACAUUGAAUACUUCCUAUACGAAAACAUCUAUCUCAUACAGUUCGGUGAUAGUAUGAUCUGUGUUUAGUCAUUCCUCUCACAACAAAUCAACAAACAGUUUUUUCACUCAUAGUUUUUCAGCAAAGCGACCAGAUGUGAAAUUGACUUGCAGGGGUGCGUCACGUUGAGUAAGAGCUUCUUUGAAGUAUGUAGUGCAUGUUUGGACAGGGGAUAGAGAUAGGGAAAUAUUGUAUUCUAGCCAUCCGUUCUCCACACCUCAUUUAAUCUGAAUUAUUCAUUUAUUUCUCUUUCCCUGUCCCAGCCCCUGUAUUCCAACAUCCAAACAACACCUAUAGAGUGUCCUUGAGUACUUGGAUAAGUCUAACGCUUUGCGAAGAAAUAGAUCGGGUGCAAACUAUAGAAAUAGACUUGAAAUAGAUGAAACAAUAAGUAAUCACAACAAGUAUGCAAGACAUAAGAACUCGAGGUUCGGCCAAACCACAAGGAAGGCUACAUCUUUGUUAUUGAGGUGACUACAGAGGUCUAAAGUCUGUUUCACCUCUCUUCCUGUCUUAAGAGACCACAAAGGUCAAUCUUGAGUUAUGCACUAGAUGAAUCUAGGUAUUACAAACCUCUCGGAGCUCAUCACACAAUUUUGGAACUUUAUGGGCGAUGCCUAGCUGGUUAGGGGCAAAGCUCAAAGAGUAACAAACAUGAACCGCACCAGCUUGAUAGAGAAAUCAAGUGCUCAAGGUUAAUCACAUCUUCUCUUGCUAGAAUCCUUCCCUUCACUCUCUAGCAAGAUCGUCGAAAUCAAAGGGGACAAAGAGAAGGAUUUUCUACGCACUAGACAAGGAGAUAUGCCAAGUCAAAAAAAUGGAGAAUUGAGAUGUCAAAUUGUUGGAGACGAUUUUUUCUUAUUUUGCUACAAAAAUUAUGGAUAUUAAGUUAUUUGCCAAACUGUUGGAUGAAAACGGAUACGAACGGAUAUCACUGAUAUCAUAUUUGUUUUCAUAUUUCUGGUCGAAUUCGGAUUCGAAUACGGAUAAUGUCAACCAUGUCGGAUAAGAUAGAAUUUGAUGUCGACAUUAUAAAUAUAUGAUUUAAGUAUUCGAAUACGGAUACGAAAUCGGAUAUUGAAUAUUCGAACUCGAAUACGGACAGAUCUGAACGUCUUUAACGAAUUUGGUCUCGAAUACGGUCGGAAAAUAUUCGUACCGUUUUCAUCCCUACUAGCCAUUUUCAUGGGAUCUAUCAAAAAAUCAGUCUUCAUAUAAAGGGCUUGUUUUGGUAGGUCUCCAAUUCGAGCUAAAACAACUUUAGGCCUUGUUUAGUUCACCUCAAAAACCAAAAACUUUUCAAGAUUCUUCAUGACAUUGAAUCUUGUGGCACAUGAAUGAAGCACUAAAUAUAGACAAAAAUAAAAACUAAUUGUACAGUUUACCUAUAAAUCUAAAAACGAAAGUGCUACAGUUCCGAAUACCAAAAAGUUUCCGGAACUAAACAAGGCCUUAGUUGUAGCUUUGCUUGUGAAGCAGAUUCACUUGAGAGGUAAAAGCUGUUUUUUUUUUGUUGUUUGGUAGUUUAGAAAGGGUAAAAUAUCCAUAAUACCCUCAUUCCUUUUCCUUUUUCCUUUUUUCUCUUUUCUUUUUUUUCUUUCCCUAUACCUUAUCCGGUCCCUCGCGUUGCAACCGCACGGCCCCGCACGCGUUCGCUCGCGUCUUCAACCUCUGGAAGCCGAGCUCCUAUCCCGCCGCCGCCUGCGCCUGGAAGCGCUCCCGGCCACGGGCCACCGGAGGCGCCGCGGCUCCCUCCUCCGCGCGCCCUCCGUCCCGCACCUCCCCGCGCUCCUCCGCCCGGAAGCCGGCGUCCGACGGACCCGCGCCGCCCGCCCCCGACGGCCUCGCGCACAGAGCUCCGGCGACCUCGCGCCCGCACGGCUCGGUCGGGGCAAAAACGCCCAUCGCCCUGCGCGGGGCCCACGGCAACCGAGCGGAGCUGGGAGAAGCUCGUCCACACGGAGGUGUACGGGCACUUAAGCGUGACAAAAAGUCUCCUUCCUCGGUGUUCCUCUUUCUCCUACCGCUUGCUGGCUUCCCAGCUUCCGCUCCAAUGGCGUCUCUUCUCUUCGUCCCACGCCCCACCCGGAGCGCAUGCGCGAAGACCGGACCCAGUGCCACUCACAAGCCUAGGCGCGUCUCCAUCACCUGCGGGCCGCGCGACAACCGCGGGCCACUCCAGCGCGGCCGCUCCCUCUCCACGGAGGCCAUCCUGGCGAUCCAAUCCCUAAAGCGCCUGACCUCCGCGGACCGCUCGCCGGCAGCUGCCACCGCCGCCGCCGCCACCGCCCUGGGCCGCCUCCUCAAGGCGGACCUCGUGGCCGCCAUGGCCGAGCUCCAGCGGCAGGGCCACUGGUCCCUGGCCCUCGCCGUGCUUCACGUCGCCCGUGCGGAGCCCUGGUACCGCCCGGACCCGGCGCUCUACGCCACCUUCGUCUCCUCCGCGCCAACCUCCUCGCCCUCCGGCGAGGCCGAGGCCGCCGUGGACGCGCUCGUGGAGGCGUUCCUGGAGGAGAAGGCGCGCGGCGGCGGGUUCGUGGACGGGGAGGAGGACGUGUACAAGCUCACGAGGCUGCUGCGCGCGCUGGUGGCCAAGGCCAGGGGCCGCGCGGCGUGGAAGGUAUAUGAGGCGGCCGUGAGGAAGGGAGGCCUCGACGUCGACGAGUACGUGUACAGGGUGAUGGCGCGGGGGAUGAAGCGGCUGGGGCUCCACGAGGAGGCGGCGGAGGUGGAGGCCGACUUCGCCGAGUGGGAGGCCACGGUCUCGCCGCCCGCCAGGGACGUGCUCGACGAAAUGCGAGCGAGAGACGAGAGCAAGACGACUGCCUCUGCCACUUAGUCCGCCAGGGAUUUUUCUUUUUUAUGGUUUUGUUUAGAUUUGAGAAGUUUUUGUAUUUUGACACUGUAGCAUUUUUGUUUUUAUUUGAUAAAUAUUGUCUAAUUAUGGAGUCACUAAGUUUAAAGAUCUAUAUUUAAUGCUACAUGCAUGAGUCACUGAGCUUAAAAGAUUUAUAUUUAAUGCUAUAUGUAUAUGUCGUAACUUUUAAUGUAGCGGAGAAUCUUGAAAAGUUUUUAAUUUUCGAGUGAACUAAACAAUACCUUAAUCUUUGGAUUGGCAAAUGGCCCCAAGAGAGAGAAAACAGCCAGACUAUUUAUUUCGUAUUGUACGAGAUGUCUAUCGACGUUUUCCCCUAUCCAUACUUCACAUUUCCAGCUACAAACUAUUAUCGAGGAAUAACAUAGAGGAAAAAAACAAACUUCAUCAUGCUGCUGUACAUAAAAGGUAGACAGCCGGUUAGCAUUAAAAUCUGACGGAAUAGCACGAAUGACACAAAUAAACUUCACAAAGACGACUAACUUUUCAAGCAAGAACACAGAGGUGCAACUUUCGUAAUAACAUAAGAAAAGUCUCCGGUAUAUUCCAUCCCUGCUCGCUUGGCCAACAAAGCCCGCCUGGCUCUAUCGUCCACUCCCAUCCGCCCAAACGCUUCGGUGUGGCCCAGAUCAACCUAACCUACCGCGACAGACACAGACGGCCCGCGGCUUUGCCCCCUUUCUCCUCUCCCUCCCUCUCCGCUCACCCUUGCCGGUUGCCGCCACCCUCCUCUGGCUGCCGUUCCACCGGCGUCGCCGCCAGCCCGCUGAAGCCUCUUGCGCGAGGCGCGACCUUCUAGAACUUGGCCUCGAUCUCGGCCUCUUACCGCCCCGCAGCCGCGCUUCCUCCUACACCGGAGAUUUGGGUUUAUUGGUAGGCCCUCGAACCCCCUUGUGUUUCCCCUAAUUCUCGGCGGAGGAUGGAUUCCUCGCACAUGGUCAGUCACUAAUUAGCUAGCGGCCGGAAUGCUCCGUCCAUAGCUCGCUUUUAUGCAGCUGAUUUCUUUGGCUGCUGCAAUUCCGCUUACGCGCCUUUCUGUAGGCUGUAGCUCGAUAGGAAGGAAAUCUAUUUGCUCAGCUGGUACUACUCAUUCUGUGCUUGCUUGAUUCAUUGGUCUGUGGUUUACAGACGACAAUGUGCUAGGAGAACGAAUUUAGGUGGCACGCUAGUGGUGAUCCGUUGCCCUCCCUGAGAUAGCAGCCAUGUCGACGAGGAGGCAUUUUGCGAUAUUCACCACCGCAAGCCUCCCAUGGAUGACGGGAACAGCCAUCAACCCUUUGUUCCGGGCCGCUUACUUGGCAAAGGAUGGUGAUAAGGAUGUUACGCUAGUGAUCCCCUGGCUUUGUCUAAGGGACCAAGAGUUGGUUUACCCUAACAAUAUUGUAUUUGACUCGCCUUUGGAGCAUGAGAGCUAUGUUCAUCACUGGAUCGAGGAGAGGAUUGACUUCAGGCCAUCCUUCAGCAUCAAAUUCUACCCAGGAAAGGUAUAGUAGCUAUGCACCUUGUAAUUUCUAUGUCAAACCGAGAGGAUAUCAACACAAAUUAGUGACUUGAAUUAUCUUGUCACUCUCCUGUUGCACUUUGCUUUUUUUUCGGUCCAGUAAGACCUGAAUGGAGUUUGUUUCAAACUGAUUGUUUUAUCCAAUGUGAGCCGUUGGGUUAUCUAGCACUUCAUUCAAUUUCUUUGACGAGUUCUGCUCCUUUCCUGUAGCUAACCUAAGCAUUUAAGAGAAACUUUGUUCAGUGCCUGAUGCAUGCAGACCUUGCUUCUGUUAGCUGUUAGCUCCAUCCGACAAUAUUCAUGCCUUGCAUCUCUUAUUUUUGCUUUGCUACUUAAGAUAACAAGAUAACCUGACUCUUUUUUUAUGAUGCAGUUUUCUAAAGAAAUGAGAAGCAUUCUUCCUGUUGGAGAUAUUACAGAAUGCAUUCCAGAUGAAGUUGCUGACAUUGCUGUAUUGGAAGAGCCCGAGCAUCUGAAUUGGUACCACCAUGGGCGAAGAUGGAAAAAUAAGUUCCGGCGAGUUAUAGGAAUUGUUCAUACAAAUUAUCUAGCAUAUGUAAGGAGAGAAAAGAAUGGUCAAGUUAUCGCUUGUUUCCUCAAGUAUGCUAACACUUGGGUAACUCGAAUCUAUUGCCACAAGGUAAUCGCAUGAGUAUGCAACUAUGCAUAUCUACACUAGAUCAUUUCUUUCGAUUAAAUUUCUCUGGUAAACCUUGUCUAUGAUGGCACUUCUUUCUUGACAUAAGUUAACAAUCUACAAUAUUGUGUUUUGUGAUAAAUAGAAAUAUGUGAAUAAAUGUGUUUACUUGCUAUUCAUAAUUCUGAAUGCAUGCAUGCAAGCCAAAAAUAUAUUCUUCAGAUAUAGUACCAAUAUUCUUGUUAGUGAUAACCCUAUCUAUCUCCUGGUCUUAUGCUGUGAAUACAAUAGGUGCCUUUCCCUAAAAAAAAUAGUUGGUACUGUGUAUAACUUAUAAGUAACAAAGAUGAAUGAGAAAAGCUGCUUAAUUUUGGGGCUGUCUACACAGUGUUCAAGUGUUUUUAGGAGAAAAAACUCUUGAAUUUUUACCCUAGAUCAUUCAUCCAAUGAUCACCGCAUCUUCUUCCUCGGUAUUUCUUCUACCUUGGCCACCUUCACAGCUUGCACAGCACAGACCAAAACUUUGCGAUCUGCUCGUCAGCAAGCUCAUCUAGUUCAUCAUGCCCCCAUUCCAUACUCCUCCCAUCACCAGCAACUCUCGCUGCCGAAUUCGUGACCGCAGCUCGCUACCAUGCUAACCUCUCUUGGUUUUAUGCCACCGCCCUAACCCUGCGCAUCGGCUGUCCUCCACUACCCUGGUCGCGCCCUCUCCGCUUGCUAUCCCACCCAUCCACCGCCUCCACCACCGUGCUGGCCUUCCUCCCCUGGUCCUGCUUCUACGCCUGGGUAAAUAUGAGAUCCCUAGCCUCCAAACCCCCAUAUCCCUAACCCUAAACCCACAGACCCUCACUGGAGAAGCCUCCUCCUUGAACCCUUAAAGAAAAAUCAUGUGUUGGGUUCCUAUGAAACACUCUGAGGUUAGGAUAGAGCUUAGCACACUGAUUAUUUUAGUGGAUUGGUAAUUAUGGAAGCUCCAAAAUGACUACAUUUUUAACGACGCCUCCCCAGAUUUGAUUUGGCUGGUUCAUUCUAUUUUGGAGGAUCUUUGUGGUGUGCUUCUGGGGCUAAAAGCUUCAGGAUUUGGUUGUACAGAAGGCUAGAGGUGUUUUAACCUAGUUGCUGUCCUUUCUGGUUGUUUUUCACUCCUGUUUUACGAACUGGUGUUGGGGGUGUUGAACUGUUGAUGUAUGCAGCAUUGUGUUGGAAAUGUGGGGUUUCCUUUGUGUUUGUCUUUUCUUCUCCUUAAAUGAAAUGAUGCACGGCAUAUUUGAGGAAAAAAAUUCUAGUAUGUAGAGUUGAAUUGAGAAAUGCAAGUACGAUAAUUUCUGCACUAGCGAGAGAAUCGAACACUGCGAAACUUGUCAAUGAUUUUGUAAGAUCUGGUGUGCUGCUCCACCAAUGGGAUGUGAACAUAUGCAAUCAGUAUUAGAUUUGGUUAUGGAUGAUUUGUUUUAGUUCUAAAUACAAAGGGCGAGCAAGAGUAUGGAUUUUGACACAUAAUUUUUUUAAUUUAAAUUUCAAUCAUGAUGGGGUAUGCUAGGAAUAGGCAUACUUUCCUUUUAAGUAGCUAACCUUACUGUAGAAGCACAAUUAGAUACUUAUGUACAAAUAUUCUAGAAGAGUUUUAUGGUGGUACCCAGUCAUGGUCGCCUCUUGCUUACUUAAUGAACUUAUAACAAUGUUCAGUAUUUGCAUGCAAUGUUAUCUUAUAUUGCUACAAUACUAAGUAUAAAAUGAGGUUCAAGAGAUAUGUCACUUAUGUACCUUGUAGUUCUCUCAUAUAAAUGCAUUUGCUCGUUUUCCUUCUCCUCCUAUAAAAAAAUGUUGAAUUUGGAAAACUGAACACCCAGUUAUCAUCCUGUGCUGAUUGAUUGAGCCAUGUACAAAAUUAUCCUGAUCUUAAUGCAGAUUAUCAGAUUGUCAGGUGCCACCCAAGAUCUGCCCAGGUCUGUUAUAUGCAAUGUCCAUGGUGUUAAUCCAAAAUUUCUUGAGGUAGGCAAGCUAAAGUUGAGGCAGCUGCAGAAUGGGGAGAAAGCCUUCACAAAAGGGGCAUACUACAUCGGGAAGAUGGUAUGGAGCAAGGGAUACAGGGAGCUUCUUGAUCUGCUAUCCAAAUAUCAGAGCAAGUUGGUUGGUCUUGAAGUGGAUUUAUAUGGUAGCGGAGAAGAUUCUGAUGAGGUCUGUGAAUCUGCCAAACGUUUAAGUUUGUCUAUCAAUGUUCAUCCUGGUCGUGAUCAUGCAGAUCCCUUGUUCCAUGAGUAAGUUUCUUAUUUACUAUACUCAUUCCGUCUUAUUCUGUUAGACAUUUGUACAUGUGUAACAUGCCUAAUACAUCCCUCUGUUCUAAGUUAAGAGUUUGAAUGCAAAAUCGGUAUUGCCAUUGUCAAGAGUCAAGACAGUAAAAGCAAUUUCUUCUUCAGUUUUCUGUCAACAUUAUUAGAUAAAUAUGUAAGUUUUGUGAUCUUAGUGAACUAAAACACAGGUUACACAAAGUUAUGUAAACGAGAUUAAGGAAUGAGUGGGGUAAUGUUAGGUGACCUGAUAGUUUCAUAAUAAGAUUUAACAUUUCUGAUGCACUUAGGAUACACCAACUGUUUGUGCUCAACUGAAAGUUUGAAACACUGAUUCUCCGACAGGUACAAAGUAUUCAUCAAUCCCAGCACCACAGAUGUGGUCUGUACGACCACCGCUGAAGCGCUGGCAAUGGGGAAGAUAGUUAUAUGUGCCAAUCACUCGUCAAAUGAGUUCUUCAAGCAGUUCCCCAACUGCCGUAUCUAUGACAAUGAAGACGAAUUUGUACAACUAACACUGAAUGCUCUAUCAGAGCAGCCUGCUCCAUUGACAGACGCGCAGAGGUACGAGUUGUCAUGGGAGGCUGCGACUCAGAGAUUCAUUGAGGCUGCUGAUAUAAAUCCUCAUGUGCCGGAGUCCAGGACCCAUCAAAGCUCGAGGGCUUUGUUGCCUGCUUUUCUAAGAACUCGUAAACUGAAACAGAACUUAGAGGACGCAUCAGUUUACCUGCACCAAGCCCUCUCAGGUCUGGAAGUCACUCGCUGUGCGUUUGGUGCUGUUCCUAAGACGCUGCAGCCUGACGAGGACCUCUGUAAAGACCUUGGUUUGGCUCCUCCUGUAAAUAGGAAAAGGCUGAAAUUUAAGAUGACGUAAUGUUUGUGACUUAUACCAACUAGUACUUCAUGUUCUAGUCCAAAGGAAAAUACUAGUACUUCAUGUUUGAAAAUACUAGUACUUCAUGUUUGCGUUGCUUCGCUUCAUGUACAGCACACUGUAGACUGUUGUAGACAUUUAUAUUUUUCUUCUCAAAAGGGACAUUAACAGACAAUCCGGAGGGAUUCUUUUGACUAUUAACUACUGGAACGUGUGAACUGGAUUAGUACAUUGUAAAUUGGUCUGUUAGCUUUUAGGGCUAGGGAUUCUUUGAACAGUGCUGUAAUUCUGUGAGUCGGUUAAUGGAUCGUAAUGAACUGUGAGGUAUGAUGUACUCGCGCUGGUAGCGCUGCCAACGCUUACGCCGUAUGGUUUUACGGCUAUAUAAAGCGUGCUGAUCACUCGAUUAUUCACGUCCGUAUGCAUAGGUAUUUGUAGUUGAUGAUCAUUUAGGUCCUCUUUUGAAUGCAGGUUUUUUUCUGUUUCCUGUGUUUUUCCUAUGAAAAUUAUCUGAUUCUUAUAAAAUUUCUGUCCUGUGUUCUAAAGGGCAAGUUAGGCCUUUUUUAGUUUCCAAAAAAUUUUGCAAAAAUUUUUAGAUUUUUCAUCACAUUAAAUGUUUAGACGUACGUAUGAAGUAUUAAAUAUAGACGAAAAUAAAAACUAAUUGCACAGUUUGGUCGGAAUUGACGAGACGGAACUAGUUCAUGAUCGGACAAUAUUUAUCAAAUACAGACGAAAAUGCUACAAUAUCAAUUUCUCAAAAAAAAUAUAGAACUAAACAACGCCUUAUUUGAGUCCGUCAGCGUCAGUAUCGAGUGAUCAGCAAAAGGCAGGCAAGCUUUUUAUUCGCCGUCAUGUAUCAGAAACGUAGGAGUGCCGAUAGGAGCAGUGAGGUCACAUAUACUCCAGUAUAAUAAUUAGCUAACCACCCCAUGAGCCCAUGGGCAUGGGCCAUGGUAGAUCCACAAGCAAGCUGCUUCAUUAAAAACUUAAACUAAGACCGGACUCAUUAAUUAGAGAGGUCACUUGUCUUCCCUGAAAAGCGAUCAUUGCCAGCUUUAUAGACCACCUGGUUUAAUUAGCCACUGUCACCAUCCAUCGAUGUGGAGACAGCUGGCUCUCUUUCGAUUCCGGCCGUCCUUUCCUUCGAGCCCGCACGAUCCUGGCCGUCCAUCCAAUCACGCCGCAGCCCGCGCGGCCGGGGCGUGAGCAUCCCCGUCCCCCGCUUGCCGCUUUUGCCAAACAGCGACGCGCGAGCCACGCGGGCCAGACUGCCAGAGCCUCUCGCCUAGCGUAUCUGCCGUGCGGAGAUCCUGCUGUCCCAGCGGGCCCCACGCACAAGAACACCCUAUUCACGCCCCGGGCCCGAUACGUGUCCGGUGCACCAGCCGCCUGACGUCACUGCUGCCCGGCGACGCGUCCGCUCCCACCGCCCUCGUACGACAAGAGGCGCUGACGCGGCAGCGCCCGCGGGCGGCCCAUGUGCGCAAGUUGGGCCACUUGCCGGUGGGGUCACGCCGAGGAAGCAAUGCGCCUUUCGUAUUUGCGGCGGGGAGUGUCGCGGUCGGCGCCUCGGCGGGCCGCGCUCACGUGGCGCGCGAUGCGGCGCGGUCGCGUCCUCGCGAUCGCGAGAGCCGGAGAGCAGCGGCACGCUAGGUCGCUAGCGCCAGCUUAAUACGCUGGGUCUGGUUUUGCCGUUUUGCUUCGUUUUUCCUUGUGCGGCUGCGGGGCGGGCGGGCAGUUUGCUCUGGGCAAACCGGGGGUUCCUGAUGGCGUAUACUUGCGCAGGUUUUUCGGUGGAAAGUGGUGAGCUAGGAAAACGUACGAAAAAAGCGGUGGUAGUACCUGAAAUGUCGUCCCUAUCUGGCAUGAUGUGGCUCUGUUUUUUUUUCUUCUAAUUGACGCAAAUCUUUUAGAGCCUGUUUGUUGGAAUUAGCUUGAUUAUCAACAAUGACUUUGUUAUAGAAUUUGAACUUCGUAUUUUCUUUUCAUGACCGCCACAAAGGGUUUUUUUAAGGAAGAACAUUAGAAGCUUUUUUGCACUGGAAUGAUCUUAGAUUAAAAAAUAAAAUCUAUAACAUACAAGGAAAUUUGUCUCCUCUCACAUGUUGCACGGCUUAAUUUUUCCACCACUACAUCUUCUUCAACAAGUCUUAUUCUUUCUUAAAUCUCUCAUACGAUAUAUCAUUCUGAGUGUGACGUAUGACUCUCUUUUUUUUUCUCUUUCUUCUUCCCUCUCAUCCUCCUAUUUAGGCAGCUCCUCAUGGAUCUAUCGCCUCCCUGCCAUGUUACUCUGUGGGACGCCACGAAUGAUGACCGGGGGAGCUUAUCCCCUUUCCUAUCGCUUGAACCAGCCACCAAGUGAUAGCUCGAGGUUGAGCUCCACGGCUCCUCCAUCUCCUCUAGCCUCUACCCCGAUGGAGGCGUGUCUCCUUUGCCAAUCCUGCAUAGAAAGUCCCUCGAAUCCAUUGCACGUGUAAGUUUAUCCCAGGGAGUCUCAGUAAGCAAAAAGCCCUUGCAAGACGGAAAAGAGAUAAGUGACGCCGCAUGAGCAACCAUUCUCGGCCAAUAAGAGACAAGGGGCCACCUUUAAUCUAUUGUAGUGAGUUUACCCCUCCAUUCCCCUUGCACCCACCCUCACCCUCUCAUCAUUGCCAUUGCUGGCGCCGCCACAGCCAUAGCUUAACAUCAACUCUUCCACAGAUCAUCCACUGUCAGCUUGCCAGCGUUAUCCUAUUAUUCACUCAACUCUCAUCUUAGAUAUCUUGCCAGCAUCAUCCCCAACUCCUUUGGUCCUACCUCUUAACCCAAAAAAUCUAGAAUCAAACAAAUCCCAAAUACUUGAACCCACUAGAAGAGAUUAAUCUCGCUGGAGUUAAAGACGAUGAUAAGAUAUCUCGCCGGAGACAAAUAUAAUGAUAGAAAUUUUCUGUCGAAGAUAUAGAGAAGAUGAUAAAAGAUCUGUCGGAACAAAGGAGGGCGACCCAGAGUAGCUUUUCCAAAUAAAAUAAAAUAAAAAUGCCAUGAUGGUAAUUCGAGGUCCUCGGAUCCCCUACAAUCUACCGAGGGAUCGGCCUGCUGCGCAGCCUGUUGGAGUGUUGGGCAUCCACCGGUCACGGCGCGCGUCCACGACUCGACCGGCUCAGCUCCAACCGAGGCUGGCGAGCCGACCGCAUCCCGCUCGGCUCCCGCCGCGGCUGCGCGGUGCCGCGCAAGCUCGCUCGCACCACGCGUCGGCCGCCGUAUCAACACGCGUCACGCCGGAGGCAAGCCCGCCCGCCCGUCUUCGCCAUCCCCAGCGGAACCGCAUGCCCCAAAAGCGAAACCAACCAGCCCAAAAAGGAGCAGAAAGCUUUGCCUCCUCUCUCUCUCUCUCUCUCUCUCUCUUCUCUCCUGUUCGCCGCUAGAGUCGCCUCGAGGCUGCGGUGAGGAGAAGCGGCAGCGCCUCACCUCUCCAAUGGCGGCCUCCUCCCUCCUCCUUGCAACCUGUGUAAGUCGCCUCUCAUCCCGUGUUCUCUGCUCCGGCCCCUCGCCUCUUGUUUGCCGGGAAUGGUUGCUCCUGCGGCGUCGCUCAGCUCUUGCCCGUCUUGCAGGCGCUUCUCGUUUACUGAGGCUCCCUGAGACAAGCUUGCGCUCACGAUGGAGGGUUUUUCGAGGGACUUGCUGUGUGGGAUUGGGAAGGGAGACGCGCCGCCACCGGAGCAGAGGCCGGGGCAGCUGCGCGAGGAGAUGGAGGCGGUCGAGCUCAGCCUCGGACUGUCGCUCGGCGGCCGGUUCGGGCUAGACAGGAAGGGGGACAAGCUCCCCCGGUCCUCGUCCGUGGCGGCCAUGCUGACGCCGCCGGUGGAGGUGCCGACGCCGCGCGCCCUCCCGCGGACGAGCUCGCUGCCGGUCCUGGCCGAGGCGUCGGAGGUUGCGAAGCAGCAGGGGCUGGCUGGAUGGGGUUCUUGCCGUGAUGGCGGGGGUCUCGGCGUGGAACACGCGGCGAGGCUGCCGGCGAGCGGGAGCCCUUCCUCUGCCUCUUCGGGAGGUGAUGGGCAGAGAUUGCAGGGUGCGUGCGGCUUCUCUUUGUGGGGUUUAUACUAUCUUUAGUAUUUUGCUACCCUUGAUAGUUAAUUUGGCGUUCAGAUUCCGUGCUUAGCAGUGCCGAUUGUGAUCGUUUUGGUAAAUGGUAGUAGUUGUGAAUUAUUUUGCAAAACUGUGUUAACUAAUAUUUUAUUUGCAGAGAACUCUGUUGACUCAGGAAAUUUUUUGCAAAAUUGCUACAGUAGCUCUUUUGUUUGUAUAUAGCAAAUAUUGUCCAACUAUAGACUAACUAGGCUCAAAAGAUUCGUCUCGUAAAUUUCGACCAAACUGUACAAUUAGUUUUUAUUUUUGUCUAUAUUUAAUACUCCGUGCAUGUGUCUAAAGAUUCGAUGUGACGGGGAAUCUUGAAAAGUUUUGGGGUGGAAGUAAACAAGGCCCAAAUAUCUCUGAGAAAAGAAGUGAUGUAACAGUUUGAAGUUUAGUAUUUGAUAUUUCCAUGAAUACUUAAAGAGUGUAUGUACAGAAGCAAUACGCACAGAUGUAUGUCUAAAGUACUUUCAAAACAUUAUAGUUUUGCUAGUUGUUUUUUAAUGAAGUUACUAUAUAGAUUUGUUAAUGGCAAUGUAGACAGAAAAAUACAUGUUUUAACGUAACAACCACAUUUUGAGAAAUCGACAUCUCAAUGUUGCUUGAAAUAAACAUCAACAGCUUUUCACAAAUUCCAAAUAUCUGUAAAUACUUACUGAAUAUUGCAGGCACCCUCAUGAGAACUAGUUCACUCCCUGCUGCCAUUGAGGCUGCUGGCAAUGAUGAAUGGAAGAAACGUAAGGAAGCACAGAGUCUGAAGAGGCUCGAGGUUAAGAAGAAAAGGAUUGAGAGGAGGAACUCUCACACUUGCAACACUUCAAAAGAAGCAGCUGGGCAGAUUCCAGAAGAGAUGAAUGCACACACUGACAAAUUAGUAGCUUCUGAUGAAGCUGUUGUGAUGAAUAACGAAAAUCAUAGCAGUGGCAAGCAUCUGGUGAAGGGGCUUCCUCCAAAGUACCAGGCUACAAUUGCAUCACAAGAUAGUUUGUCAACAGUGGGAAAGAAGCCAAACUCAGCCUUCAAAGGUAUCCCCGUUUGUUUGUUAAGUACACUGUUUAGGUAUUCUCAGUAUCCAUUUCCCAUGCUUCCAAGAACAUGAAUCUUGCCAAUGCACCACAGGUGUAAUGUAUGAAUGGACUGGAUUGAUAUUUGUCCUUAAAUUAAGACUUUGGGCCCAAAGAUCAUUGUCUUUUAGUAUUUGCGUCUACAAUCUUAUAAGAACUUAUAUAUAUCUGAUACAUCGAGAGUUUUUACAUUUGAUAUUAGUGGUUAUUAGCUAAACAAAGGCUAUGUUGUGUUAGAACCUCUGUUGGGUCCUUUCAAUAGUCAUGAGUGUGCGCUCGUGUUUGUGAGCGCUUGCUUCUGUAACUGGGUUUCGCCAAAAAAAAAAAACACCCAAGACAUUUCAUGCCAGAAGUGAAUCUGGAAGAUACAAAAUUCUAUAUUGUUCAGCUCUUAUCGAUGGAGGCUGGUUUCUUAUAUUGUUCAGUUAUUAUAGAUGUGAGCUGGCUGUUUGUGUAUGAUUGAACACUUUCUAUUCUAAUGGUUCUUCCCUUCAAUGAUUUUUUGUUAUCAUUAAGCUCUAUAUUAUACUCAUUUCUGAUUUUUUUAAGAGCAGCCAUCGUUGAGGAGCACAGCCCGUCAUCAUCUAUUCCUUCCUCCGGUGAAGCUAUAAGUAGCGUCACGGCAGCAAGUCCACCAUCUUCGUCUUUGGCUCACAGAACAGCUACCCUUGGUCCCGCGGGAGAUCAAAGCAUUUUAGGCAGGGCUGCUUCAAGGGCGAACAGCAUGGGGGACGUGGAAAGGAAGAUGAUGCAGGAGAUGCCGGGCGUGUUCACCAAGGGGCUGCCCAAUGGCAACAGGGUUGAAGGCUUCCUGUAUAAAUACAGGAAAGGAGAAGAUGUCAGAAUCGUAUGCAUCUGCCAUGGAAGCUUCCUUACUCCUUCGGAGUUUGUGGAACACGCCGGAGCCGGCAAAGUAGACAACCCGCUGCGACACAUUGUCGUCAACCCUACCCCUACCCCAAACCUGUGAACCUUCGCCAGCAGACCUGUGCAGGCGUCGUGUAGAGUCAGCCUUCAGCCUAGCGUCGAGUAGUCUCAUUGUCAGAUUGUGUUUGUGGUGCAGUGCUUACUUAUGCCCGAUUAAAUUGGUGGGCAUUAUGGUAAUAUAACCUGUUGAUAAUGUUCUGAUCCUUCCUAAACGUAGUUCUGCAACUUCGUUUUACUUGGUAGGUGUUCCAGAAAACGAAGCUCACGAUAGUGUGUUAGCGGCCAUGACUUCACGCAGGCACAUAGCUCCCAAUCAGUUUAACUGUCUGAAUAACUUAGCGUGUGUUUGGUUUGGGGCUACUAGGGAUUGGUUGGAUUAAUUUGAGGACUACUAGGGAAGGGUUGGAUCCAAUCCAUAUUUUUGGGAUUUUGUUGGUUGUUCCUAAACUGAGUGAUUUGGCUCUGCUCCUUGGUGAGAUAGAGAUAAAUGAACGGAGGGAGUCGUUCAAAGCGUUGGAUCCUAUCUAGUUCGUUGUGUUUGGCUGAUUUUUGGGAUAGGUCCACAGUGUUGGAUCCGAUCCAGUUCUGUGUUUUGGUUGGGUUUUUUUUUUUUAUAGGAUCAACCCAUCUCGUAUUUGGUUCGUGUUUGGUUCGGUUCAGAGGGUUGCAUCCGAUCCAGUUGUGAGGAUUUGGGCCUUGUUUAUUUCUCAAAAAAAUUUAUAAAAAUUUUUAGAUUUUCCGUCACAUCAAAUCUUACAGCAAAACAUUAAAUAUAAAUAAAAAUAAUAACUAAUUAUACAGUUUGUCUGUAAUUUGCGAGUCGAAUCUUUUAAGCCUAGUUAGCCUAUGAUUAAAUAAUAUUUGUCAAAUACAAAUAAAAUUGCUACAAAAAUUUUGGAACUAAACAAGACCCAAGGUCUGUGUCUGUUUGGUGGUAGAAUUUAUAGAAGUGGAAUGUGACACUGUCUUGUGAGAGAAAAUCAGAGGCCCAGUGGCAGUCUCGCGGAUGUCUUCCCCUACCUUUUGCGUGCUCUUCUUCUCGGCCCGGCCGCGCACGCCGUCCCCGCCUCAGCUCCCCGGCCAUGUGCGCCGCUGCUCGGCCAGGUGCAACUCCGACCAACUCAACCCACUUAUCCUCCAUCCAAACGCACGAUUAGAUAUGUAUUUAAGGUGUAGAGGCUGGAGCAUGUUAAGCUCAUUCCGCUAGCUAAAGAGUACAAAUACACGAUAAGCUGACACAGGCAAUUCACGGAAACAUGUCUGAGAAAAGGCAGAAUAGAUGGCACAAUGAUACGCACACUUUAUCAAUCAUCAUACGAGUUAGAGCAAGGAAGGGUUUCUACAUAUGAUUACUGAUAUACAGAACUAAAACUUAGCCGCAGGAACCUGACAUCAUGAAUUAGUCUUAAUAACCCUCGCUAUUUGCUCAACAAAGCUGCAGAGACAAGGAAUCGGAACUGCAAUUCUGCAAAGGCUUCAUGCUUGAACUGUCAUAGCAUCUGUUGUGCUUACAUCAAGGUGAACCAACAUCUACAUAUCUUACAGAAGUGCUAAAGACCAAUGAGAGCAACACAGAACAGUAAUAAAGUUACUACAGCUCAAAACCCUUGCGAGGGAACCAUAUCAGGGGCCAGUCCUCCUUCACGAACCACCAGAAAGAUUGCAUCUUCUAGCAAGCAGUAAGCUUCGCGAUCUCUUCAAGCAGGUACUUGGAUUCAGCUGCAUAGUCGACCGGUGCUUCACUCCUCACGGUGAUCCUCUGCCUUUUCUCGUUCAUGUAUUCAUGCUGCGUGACGCUGACGCGGAAAAGGUGAGGAACCCAGGUGGCUUCCUUGAGCUUGAGAAUGUAACUGUCAUCGCCCUCCUGCAACAAUGGAGGGCCCACUAUCAGGGAUAAGACAAACAAGGAAACAGCAGAAAUUCAAUGCUGUCAAGCCAGAGUAUUUGCGCAACUCAGAUUUCAGAAUUUACCUCUUUCCUGAUCCGAUCAAGCUCGUCAGCGCUGCAGCCAAUGAUCUUCUCAGCAUGCUCGUUGAACACGGACACCCAUGCCUCACCAGUGGGAUCAGAGAUCUUGAGGACCAUUAUGUAUCUGAAGGAUGCAGGGAAACAAUCAGAUUUAGCACCAAAUAGAUAACAAUAGCAGGCUUCUGCUAACAAAUUUUACCUCAGUGAGCAUUCAGAGUCGUUCUUUUGGCAUCCCUCACACCAGUAUCCAGAUCCAAAAGCUUCAGUCACCUUCUUGUUGCAGGUCUUGCAAGCACGGUACCACAUAUUCUGGUCAGGCUUGAUGUGGCUUAUGAUGGCAUUUAAACUGAAGAAAACAGGCUGCAAAGCAAAGACAAGUCAAACUGGGGCUUCUCCAAAUUUGCAAUUUUACCGUUUAGUGAAUAUUCAGGAUCAUACCUUUUCCUGGCCCAUAGCAGGAUCACUGGUGAUGUGAGACAGAAAAACUCUAUCAGAAUACAUGGACUUCAGGCCACCAGCCCGUGCAGCACCCAUUUCUGCACCAAUUGGUGCUAGUGAAGUAUCUUUGCCUUCAGAGUCAUACCUAUUUGAUAAAUUAUGUACAAGUCUAAGCAUACUAUACUAAUUAAAAACAUACAGCAAGCUCAAAUCAUUCAGGAGAGAAGUACUACCAUGAUUUAACAUUCUGAGCCUCAGGCAGGUCUGGAUUAAUAGCAAGAGUGCUUCUGCCUAUAGUUGAAAGUGACACGCCUGCAAAACAAAUUUCAGCACCACAUUAUCACAACACACUCAGUAACUUACUGAUUUCUAGGAAGAAGAUCAAACAGAGAUUAGAUGACAUACCUUGGAAAUCAGAUACUUUUAGGCUCUUUAUCGCAACAACAGGAGAACUGUCAACCAUGUCCAAAAGCUCUUGGCCAGUAGUAGUAGCAAGAUCAUUCCAGAGAGAAAUACUAACAGUUUUGCCACUGCCAAAAAAAUGAAAUGAGUCAAUUAGGAACAGAUAAUUUCUUUAUUAGAAACAAUAUCUAUAAAAAUAAUCUUAAAGAGAGAGUAUUAUAAAUUAUGAAAUUAUUAUUAUUAUUAUCGUCAUUAAUAUAGUAGUGCCAAUAUUGUUUCGUUAAGUUAAAUUUAUAUCACAAAAAUAUAAAGUCUUGAGACAAUUUUAUGGACUUAUAUCUGUGAUUAGAGAAACUAUAAGCAACAUCACUGAAUGAUUGUAUUCUGGCCUAUUAACAAGUCUGUUAAAUUUAGGUCACAAAAAUAUAAAGAUAGAUAUGGCAAAACUUAAGAGAAUUAAUUUGAGACAAUUUUUAUGGACUUAUAUCUGUGAUUAGAGAAAUUAUAAGCAACAUCACUGAAUGAUUGUAUUCUGACCUAUUAACAAGGUAAAAGAUCAAGCGAUACUUACGAGUCAUCUGCUACAACAAUGUCACGCUUUGGUAUUGUCUCAUUGUCAAUCUUUCUCCUAACGCUGAGUGUGGGAGAUACACUCUGAACCACACCGAUAAUAUCUGAAGUAAUACAUAAAACAGUGAGACACUACAUCAAGCCAGAAGAAGCAAAACCAACUUAACUCCAAUAAUUCUGACGUACCAACAAGUUCCCUGCCACCAACAUAUGUUCCUAGAUGAUCAAUCUUGACAAAGUUGUAUUGCACUUGCGGAAUGAAAGUUUCCCCCUCUGCUUCUUCAACAAUAGCAUUCUCGUUUAGUGACAUCUCAUAGUCAUUUUGAACAGUCUUGAACUGCUUGUUGGCAAUUCUAAGAGAUCCUUUUGAGACAUAAUAGACCUUUCCCAGCUCAAAAAUUGGAUAGAACUUCUUUGCAGCCUCAUUGAACAUGGUGGCCUGGAUCUGGGUGCCCUGUGCAUACACAGAUUCAGAAAAUAUCAGCUCACGAACCAACAACAACUCACAAAAACGCACUUAAACAUGAGAAAAAUGCCAUCAGAGCACUUACAUCCUCAUCAGUGAGCUCUACAUUGAAGACACAGCCUUCUCCACGAGCAUUCCUGUAGGUUCUCAGGUUGCCUUUGCUCGUGACCCGCACCUUAAUGACCCAGUUACCCUGGUAGGGGUUCAGAGUGAUCAAAGGAUGGACCCUCCUUGUCAUGGAAAGGCGCGCAGCAGGAGCAGCACUGCACGCACAGAAGUAUAAUAAUGAGCUGUAAAUCUAAUAAAUCCUCAGAUUCAGCCAGAUAUCAAAGGACAGAGACAGCAAUUGCAAGCACUUACUUUCCACGCUGCUCGUUCACGAUCUGGGACGCGGACUUCAACUCCUGCUUGGGCUUAAUCGCGACUGGGGGAGCAUUUGCCUGCUCAGCCACGACCACGCCUUCGUCCUUAGGCUUCAGCACAAUUGGAGGCUCCUCUUUCUUGGCCUCGCCGUUGAUCUCGGCGUCGAGCGCUUGGCACACAAGCUCGCAUUUGAUGACAAUCAAGACUCUGGUAAACAAAGCACAGUGAUUCAGGAAACCGAGGGAAACGCUGAACACGAGAAUAGUUGCCAACAUUAGCCCGCUCAUGGUGACGAAAGAAGGAUGGAGAACACUUACUUGCCAUUGUUGCCGUUGACGGCGUUGCAAGUGUAGUCGAGGAUGCGGAUGAGGCCGAGGUUCUUCAGAUUGCCGGAGCGGACCUCCGACGCGAAGCUGGUGGGGAACAUCGCCUUGAUCUUAUCCUUCCCGUCGGUUGCCAUGAAACUGCAAGGCAACAACAGAUCCAGACCGAAGGGGAGGCUCGUCAGACCAUCCGACAAGAUCCAUAAGAACUGCGCUAAGAACAGAACAAAUCCGCCGCCCAAGGAACGAAAACUAGCAAAGAUACUAGAUCCAGCGCGGCCAGGGAAGGGAGGAGGUGAGAACUGACCUGAACCGGCUGCCCGUGCCGAUGGACUUGAGGUCGAGGACCUGGACGACGAGAUCCGGCACGGCGCCGUCGGAGCCCGUCGACGGGUGCGCCAGGAUGUGCGACACGGCGCCCGGCGUUACCGAGUUGGCAGCGUCCAUGGCUCCUCUUGCCUCUUUCCUCUCCCUGUCGAAUCGUCUCCCGGAGGAAGGUAGGUUUCGUGUGGGGGAGCCUUGUGCGGCGGCGAAGAUGCGUCGAGCUGCCUAGGCUGCGCGCGCUUAUAAGGCAGAUUUGGGAAGGAAAUGGCGGGAGGCGAGCGGCGCUCGGGGGUUUUGCGCGUUUUUUAGCAUUUGCCGCCGCGGGGUUCGCUGCUAGUUUCGUUUUGGCUCCGGUUUGGCGCUCGCGCGGGAGAAUUUUGAGAAGUUUUGGCGCCGGGGAAGGAGGCGGGGGCGGGCGCCGCCGCGCGGGUGAGUGGGCGGUGGGCCGGCUGGGCUGCACAGGCCUGUUUGACAUAGGCCUUGUUCGUUUGGAGAAUUUUUUUGGUUUUGGAUACUGUAGCAUUUUAUUUGUAUUUAGUAAUUAUUAUCUAAUUAUAGACUAACUAGACUUAAAAGAUUUGUCUCGUAAAUUACAGACUAAUUAUGUAAUUAGUUAUUUUUAAUAUAUAUUUAGUGCUUCAUGCAUGUGCUGCAAGAUUCGAUGUGACGAGAAUCUGGAAAUUUUUUGGGAACUAAAUAAGGCCACAAUGGUGUUGUGUUAAAAAAUGGGAGAAUUAGGUGUAUGGCCCUCGAAAAAACUUGUCUUAGGUAUAUGUUUCUCUUUUUUUGAAUUUGACUCUAUGACCUUAAACAAAAUUUAUUUGGUUCUAUGACCUUCUGUCAGUUUUGGGUAGCUGACCGUGUUAAGUCUAGGGUAAAAAAACUAUUUUACCCCUAGCAAAAAAUAAAAAUAUAAAUUCUCACAUAAUCACAUGUAUAUUUCCACUACAUAACCACAUAUAUAUUCAUAUAAAACACAAAAAAAAAUUGUUAGGGGUAAAAUGGUCUUAACAUUGUUAGCUGCUCAAAACUGACAGAAGGCCAUAGAGCCAAAUAAAUUUUGUUUUGAGGCUACAUGGCCAAAUUAAAAAAAAGAGUCAUAUACCUAAGACAAGUUUUUUUUUUCAGGGCCGUACACCUAAUUCUCCCUAAAAAUAUAUGGGGUGACUGUUCUUACCCUUGUCUAGUAACCCAACUAUUAUAUGGGGAGUCAUUAUAUUCCAUUCAUCCUGGUAGCACUAAGAUGUAUCUAGAUCUGAAAUAGAAGUACUGGUGGUAUGGUUUAAAGAGAGACGUAGCUGAGUAUGUUGCUUUGUGUGAUACUUGUCAGCGAAUGAAAGCUGAACAUCAGAGGCCAGCUGGACUGUUGCAACCAAUAAAGAUUCCGGAAUGGAAGUGGGAAGAAGUGGGUAUGGAUUUUAUAGUGGGUUUACCACGAACACAGAGAGGGUAUGACUCAAUAUGGGUGAUAGUAGAUCGUUUGACUAAAGUGGCUCACUUCAUACCUGUUAAAACUAAGUACACUGGAGAACGCCUAGCUGAGCUGUAUAUGGAGAGAAUUGUUUGUUUGCAUGGAGUACCUAAGAAGAUUGUGUCGGAUAGGGGUACUCAAUUCACAUCUCACUUUUGGAAAGCAGUGCAUGAUUCAUUGGGAACCAAGUUGAAUUUCAGUACAGCGUAUCAUCCACAGACAGAUGGACAGACUGAGAGGAUCAAUCAGAUACUGGAGGAUAUGUUGAGAGCUUGUGCUUUGCAGUAUGGGACUAGUUGGGACAAGAGUUUGCCAUAUGCAGAAUUCUCCUACAACAACAGCUAUCAACAGAGUCUUAAGAUGGCACCGUUCGAGGCACUGUAUGGUCGGAAGUGCAGGACACCUUUGUUUUGGAAUCAGACAGGAGAAACUCAGGUGUUUGGGACAGAUGUGCUUAGACAUGCAGAACAACAAGUGCGGACUAUUCGGGAUAACUUGAGAGUUGCUCAAUCUCGUCAGAAAAGCUAUGCAGAUACGCGUAGGAGAGAGCUGGCUUUUGAAGUAGGUGAUUAUGUCUACCUGAAAGUGUCACCUAUGCGGAGUGUGAAGAGGUUUAAUAUGAAGGGAAAGCUAGCUCCAAGGUAUGUUGAUCCGUUUAAAGUAUUAGAAAGGCGUGGAGAAGUAGCAUAUCGGUUAGAAUUGCCUGAAAGUUUGUCUGGUGUGCACGAUGUGUUCCAUGUGUCACAACUUAAGAAGUGUUUGCGUGUACGUGAGGAGCAACUACCAUUGGAAGAACUUUCUGUUAAAGGUGAUCUCACUUAUGAAGAGUAUCCGGUCAAAAUAUUGGAGACAGCUGAGAGAGUCACCAGAAGUCGGGUCAUCAGAAUGUGCAAAGUACAGUGGAAUCGGCAUUCGGAAGCAGAGGCAACUUGGGAAAGAGAGGAUGAUCUGAGGAAAUCAUACUCAUAUCUGUUCGAGUAAGCACCGUUCAAUCUCGAGGACGAGAUUCUUUUAAGGGGGGUAGAGUUUGUAACACCCAAAAUUUUGGUUUCAAUUAAUAGGAAUUUAAUUGAUUUAUUUAAGUAUUUUUGGUGAACAUUUAAUUUAGUGAAUAAAUAAUUUUGAGGAAAAUAAAAUUUAUCAAAGGUUUAGUAACCUUGAUGGUGCAUUCAUGCUGGAGCAUAUUUUAUGUGUUGCUUGAUUGUUCUUGGGUAGAAAUAAUAUGUGCACAAAAUUCUGUUUAGAAAAUGUUUUGAAAAAAAAGGGAGAAGAAACAAACAGAAAAGAGAAAAAAGAACAAAACCCCGGCCAGCCCUCCCCUCGGCCUGGUGGCCUGCUGGCCGAGGCCCACUCCCUCCCCGGCCUGCUCCCUUUCCCCCUACAGCCCAGCUUUCCCCCUCCAGAUGGCAACGGGGACCCGAUCCCCGAUUCCCCGUGGGGAAUUCCCCUAUUAGGGGACGGGGAUGGGGAGAUUUUAUUCCCCAUGGGGAAGAAAACGGGGGGAAAUCAAUCCCCAUCGGGUCUAGCGGGGACGGGGAUGGUUCACCAUCCCCCGUACCCGAUCCCCGCAUCCCCGACACGUUAAGGAGCAUACUCUGUAUGUGAGCCAUAACAAGUUGGAAUUUAGCCCAAAAUCGGCCCAAGCCCAUCAAACACAUGGAGUAUAUAAGCAAUUUCCUAACCCUAGUUCCCAGUAUCCCCACUCGGCCACCCCUCCCACAGCCGCCACAUUCAUACAUUCAUCCUUCAGUUUUGGAUUGUUGAUUUUUUUGUGAUCUCAUUGCGGGGACGGGGAUACCCGUCGGGUAUGUAUUCCCCGCGGGGACGGGGAUGGGAAGAAAAUGUUCCCCGCGAGUCUUCACGGGGACGGGGACGGGGAAAUCUGGACCUCGCGGGGACGGGGAUGGGGAGGCAAAACCCGACGGGGAAUUCCCCGUUGCCGUCUCUAUUCCCCCCCCCCACUCGCUCGGCCCACUCCCAAUUUCCCCACUCCGGCCCAGCAGACCCGCGCAGCGCGCCCCCGUCUCCCCUAUCUCUCUGAGACCGACAGCCGGGUCCCGCCCUUCUUCCUAUGACGCGUGGGGCCCGCUGGACAGCGCCGCCUUCCCCUUCCGCCAGCCGGUUUCGAACCGAACUCGUCUGGGACGCGCCCAAUCCCGCGAUGCUCGGGAUUUUCUUGCCAAACGCGUUAGCCGAAGCCCUACAAAGCCCCCAGCAACGCCCCGCGGCAUCUGAUUGCUAUCUGCCGUGCCUAGGAAGCCCUAGCCUCCUGCAUCUACGUCGUUGAGAUCUCGCCGAGCCGAGCAUCUUCCCUCACCGCGACACGAGCGCCCUGGUUGUCCUCGGCCCGAGAAAUUCCCCUUGGUGAGCCCGCGGUGAGCUUCUCGACCCUCUGGCGUUUUCCUUUUGAAGAAUGGUGCACCGAGUCGUGUUUUUGACGAACUUCGGCGAACUUCCCUAUGGCGCCGCCGCGGGGGAAGCCCCUGUUCCGGCCAGCUCGCCGUCGGCAUCCGCCUGGCCUCCCAUGCGCGAUCUGAGCCGCCCGAUCGUCAUCCAACGGCCUCUAACAGAACUUACCCUUUCGACCGCCAUUUUGCUAAACAGCCCCCGCGCUUUGGGAGUUUUGAACCCGCGGUCCAAGGCGCAUAAGCGGGAUUACGUUUUCUCAGUACUAAAAGCGUAUUCUCUUCAGCCUGAGUUAAAAUAUGUUUUUGAUUAUUCACAGGUUUGCCACUAGAUUUACUUUAUUCAUAAAAUACUCAUUUAAACUCCGAUUUAAUCCAUUCAAAUUUUGUUAGAUUCGUCUUCACGAGCUCUACAUGUUAGAAGAAUUAGUUUACUAUUUUGAAACUUUUUAAUUUCCUGGUACUAUUUAAUUAAUUAUUUCUCUAUAGGAAAUCUUAGAAAAUUCAUAUCUUUCGCGUUUUAAUUCCGAUUUUCGUGAACUUUACGUUUGUGUGAUCGUAGCGCUGCGUAGAAUAUUUUCAUAAGCUUUUAUCUUUAUUUACCACUGUUUGGUGUAAUGUUCUAAUUAUAUCUUGUUUGCUAUGUGUAUGAUUGCCUCCAUUGGAUUGUGUGUUGUUGAUUGAUGUUUGGGAAUAGACGGUGAGCCGUAUGUUGGUGAUCAAGACCAAGCUUUUGAAGACCAGCAGGCUCAGGAGAGCUUUGACCAAGGCAAGUAUAACUUGGGAUCAUCCUUGUUACCUAUUCUCUUAUAACUACACAUAUAUAUAUCAUAUGCAUGCUAUCACCUUGUCGACCUUAGCAAAAUCAUAGAUGAUUGUUACCUGUAUACCUUGCUACCUACUUGAUAUGCAUUUGGUGUAGAUGUGCUAGUGCUUGAUAUAAUCUAUGAUCUUGUAAGAUGAUUAAUAGCUAUGCAAUGAACAUAAAAGAAUGACAAAUAACUGUAUGAGAUCUUGUCUGUACGUGAUCACCCGGGAUAACAGUGCAACCAUGAGGGCUAUAAUGGCUCUGGCUUUAGCUCAGUAUAAAGACCUUUUCUAGCUUGUUAGAGGUUACCCGAAAGGGCGGAGGGGCUAAACCGACACGGGUAUAGUGCGAGCCCCUGUCCCUAUGUGUAUAGGUUGCGCGUCAUUGUGCCAUUCGGAAGGGGGGUAUCUAUAUCUGCUCGCAAAGGAAACUUUACGGCCCUAACAUGUUAGACGAAUUUUUGAAAGGCUUCAUAGUGAUCCCUGCCGACCUCCCUAGGAAGGGGGUUAAGAGGUUAGCUACCUCGGGCGAAAGGGUAAAUUAUGACUCAUGGGUAAAGAUGUACAACCUCUGCAGAGUGUAAAACUGGUAUACUAGCCGAGCUCACGGUCAGGAGCGGCCUUGAGGACAUCUACAUUAAGAUGAUGAGCUUAUUAAGUUGUUAUGUCUAUUUGAAUAUCGUUUAUGCUAAGAAUUAAUUAUGCUUACACUUGAUCAUGUGGUUAAUGGAUUAUUUAUGCUACCUUGACAUUUGCUAUUUAAUUAUGAAUAUGCUAUCCACUAUUAAAAGCUAAAUGCAGUUAAACCAGUGUCAACUAUUUGAGCCUCAUGAACCCCUGGUUAUACUUGUUGAGUACGAUAUGUGCUCACCCUUGCAAUUUCCCAACACCCCAGGUUAUGAUAAUGAAGAUGACUGGAAUGAGGAUUACCGUUAUGAGUACUAGGUUUGGAGUCAACCAGUCAACAGUGUCCCUGUGUGGAGCUUCCGUCGAGAGCGUAGUUUACUUUAUGCUAUCAUUUUUGUAUGAGACUAUGUGAUAUAUUUUAUAUUCCGCUAUGUAAUAAACACUACAAUGGUACAUUUGAGAUUUGUCUACUUAUGUGUGUGACUGUUUCUGGGGCACAUAUGAGUCUUUUAUGCAUCCUAUUUUGUUCUUAAAAUAUGGGUGUGACAGUUGGAUAAGCUAACCACAUACUCCUUGUUGUGGUUUAUAGGCCAAAUCACAAGGGUAUACCACUUGUCAUUAGAAUUCGAUCUUUUUCAGCUUGUGAGAUAGUGCUCCAAAGUCAUGGUGGUAAAACUUUGUCAACUAAAUUUCUUGAUGACAUACAUAGCUUUGUGUUGCUGUAGUUGAUUGACUUCAUGGCUAAGCAUUGCAUGUGGUGGUUUGAGCAAUACAUAACCUUAUGACAUAAUUUAGAAAAUGAUUCAUUUGUGAUGAAAAUUGAUGAACAUCUUUUAGAGUGGUUUGGACUUAAUGUAGACAAGGGGUACCUUGCAUCAAUGCCUAGAUGAAUGAUUUUGAAGAGUCAUUGCAGUUUUCACUAACCAAACAUAGGUGCCAUCCUAGUAUGAGGAGUAGAGUACACCUAAUUGAGGGGAGCACAAAUGAGGGAGCCACCACAAAUGAGAGAGCAACAAAUGAUGAUGAGGGGGUAGAAGAUGAUGAUGAGAGGGUAGGAGAUGAUGAUAAGGGUAUAUUUUAUGACAGCAGUUAUGACACUAAUUUACCUGCAUCUUCCGAUUCUAAUGAUGAUUGCUCUACCUUAGAGUUUGAUCCUGAUGGUGAAAUACCUAAUGAUGUUGAUGAGUAUGAUGCUCCCAUGUUUUCGUUGAUCCUAGUGAUCCAUGCAUUGAUGUAAAUGUGGUGUUUCCAUAUGUGGAUCAAUGCAAGUCUACAGUUACACAUCAUGCUAUCUUGCAAGACCAUGCUUUUAAGAUUGUAAAAAGAGAUUAAGAAAGAUUUAGAGCCAUAUGCAAGAGAGCUGAUAAGGGUUGUAAGUGGACUUUUUUCGCAUCUAUAAGCAAGAAGUACAUUGGAUGCAAGGUAAUUUGGUCCUAUUUCCAUAAUGUAGUGUAUUAACUUGAGAUGUAAUUUGCUAACAGGAUCCUAAUAUAGUGUAAUUGUUUUGUUGUAGGUGAAGACAAGUGGACCAAAGCACACUUGUGGUUCUUUCAACAAGUGUGGUUAGUCUAUGGCCUCAAAUAAAUGGGGUUGUGAUAGAGUUGUGGACUUACUACAGGAUGACCCUGGAAUGGGUCCAAAGAAAUUGCAAGAUGAGUUAAAAAAGUACUCAGUGGAUGUUCCAUAUGAUACAGUUUAUAGAGGAAAGAUGAGAGCACUUGAUAUCAUGUAUAUGAAACUUUGGACAUUCUACUGAAUGAGGUAUCUUCAGAGAGGGACCACAACCUUUUCAUCAUCGAGAUGUACUCUCUAUGGAUGCAAAGAAACAAUUAUCGCCAUAAGAAGAACCAAUUUUCGGUGUGUCUUGACGGUAGAUAACUCCUAAUUUUAACCAUCAACUAGACAUGAAAAUGGAUCUAUAUGCAAACCCCUAGUAGAUAUAGGGUUAGCACUAACAUUCCAUAAGUUUUGGUGAAUGUCUAUUUCUGCAGGGUGUCAGCUAAAAAUAACCAAAGAUGGUCCACAUGUUAGGUUUACAAAGAGAGAAUACCGUGAACUUCAACUCAGGAGUAAUCUAGAAGGUUCGAGGAGCCUCUAGACCAAACCAGAGCAAAAAACCGGCUCAGGAGCCGGGUGGGCGCCCGAGGGGUAGGGGCGGGCGCCCGUCCACCUCAACCAAUCAUACUCGACCUCGCGGAUCCUGCCUCCAUCGCUUUUGAGGAGUAAUCUUGAGUAUACAUUUAGGUUGGUUUGAUCUGAGGGUUGUGGUGCCUCCUAGGGGGCUAUAAAUAUGACCCUAACCCCUGAGGGUAGCUAAUUCUGAAACCCUAAUUCAUAUUUUCUAGAGAAUUAGCCAAAGAGGGGUGCUUCGAAUGGAUCUGACUCUUUAGGGUUUUAACAGCAAGAGAGGUUGAGAGAGUAUAGGGUCGAGAUAGAAGUGGAGGAAGCCUGGCCUGUCGGUGUCUUCUUUCUUGUAUUUACAGGAUCAAGUCUCCUCACUCGAGGCUUGGUUCUAGAAUCAUUCGACAAUUUGAUUUCUAAUACUAGUAAGUUUUGUUCUUAUUAUUCUUUGAUUUACGGGUUUAAUUUAUUCACUUGCGCUUGGGAAUAGAGUAAGCGUUCAUAGCAUAAGCGUGGUGCUUAGGCUAGGAACACUCGUAGAUACUCCCUAUCUGCCCGGAUUUGUGGUAGCAUCGGGGGGAGUGACAAUCCCCUUGGUGUCUCUAUAAUCCACGUCCCGUCGGGAGGUAAGGUAGGAUUUAUGGUGUCGAGGUUAAGCACUCUCUGAGGUGUCUCUUUUCUCUAGGUACUCCCCUUAGAACAAUAUUUACACAGCUUACCAUUGGUUAGAACAAGACUGACGAAAGAGUUCUCUCUAUAUCGCUCAUAUCUCACUAUCUUGUCUUGCAAGCCCAGGGGUUAAGUAUAGAUUUGGGUUAGUCAGAUACACGCUUUCUCCUAAUGGUAAAAAUAUAAAUAACGAUACUCUAGAAUAUCUUCCGGGUGAAGUGAUCAUCAAUAUUCGUGCGCUUACGGAUUAUUUCUUUGUGUGCGUAUCUAAUAUCAACAGUGUGUCAUGCAGUACGAUGGUCGGUUGAUCUAGCACAUGAUCUAUGGCAGAUUACCCAGUUCAAGAAGCAGUUGCGCCUGGUUAGGCACUCGCCUUGGCAACCACCUCUAGAGGGAUGGGCUAAGUGCAACACUGAUGGGACCUUUUACAUGGGGACAAAUAACGAAGCAAUGGGGCUUUGUGUUGCGGAACUCUUCAGGCUCAUUUGAUGCGGAAUGGCAUGCUGGUACUCCCAUGAUUUAGAUGCCCUAGUUCUAGAAACUUUGGCAUGCAAGUGAGCCUGUUCGCUUGUUUGAAAAGUCAUGACUGAAAGUACUAUUUGCUGAUUUGUUGUGAGAUAAAAAUAUAGCUGAAUGACUGAUAAAUUCUGCGUAUAAGCUUAAGCGAAUAAAUGGUGUAAAAGUUAGCAAGAGAGGAAGGGGUGUUGAAGCUGCAGUUGGAAACAGAUAACCAGGAGCUUGUCAGACUAUGGGCUUCAAGGCAAUUUCACAUAUCCUACCUGGCGCCAAUUCUACGAGAGAUAUGUGAUAUUAGUGUAGACUUUCAUGUUUUUUUCAUUGAUAUAUGCUAAUAGAUCAUGUUCGUUUGUCUUAAAAGUCGUAGUUGAAAGUACUAUUUGCUAAUUUAUUGUGAAAAAAAACAUUAUUAACUGGUAGAAAAAAUACGAUUUAUAAGACGAGCGAACUGUUUAGCCGAAUAUAAGCCGUCAGAUUCCUCCCACUUAUGAUGUGAAGCUCCAAGGGCAAAGUCUUCACCAAUCAUAUAUAUAUAUAUAUAUAUAUGACGCGUUUAUUUUACACGCGCGUGUAGUUACUCUUAUCUAUAUAUCUCUAGAUUUAUGAUGAAUAUGACCGAACAAAAUGUAUAUAGACAAAGUAUAUGAUCAUACUAGACCAUCUAGAGUGAUAUGUAUGUUAAGUAUGCAUACAUACAUAGAGUAUAUGGUUAUACUUAUUAUAUAUAAUAUAGUAGUGGCAUUUUAGUAAUAUAUUUAAAAUAUAAUUUUUUUAAAAAAAAUUCGCAUGGUAAGAUCUAGAGUAUCUUAAUAUGAGUAUAUAAACAUACUCAAACCGAUAAACAAGUAUGAAUACAUACACAAUGUAGUUUAUUGAAGAUGAGAGUAACUACGCGUACGUGUAGAAAGGAAUUUCCAUAUAUAUAUAUAUAUAUAUAUAUAUAUAUAUAUAUAUAUAUAUAUAUAUAUAUAUACGAGUAAAACUAACAAUAAAAAAAAAUUUAUAUAAAAAAGAGACUACUAUUAUAUAACUUAGCUCUUGCAAUUGCCACCCGCAGCCAGACUACUAUUAUAAAUAAAGAAGAGAUUAUUAUUAUUGACCUUGCUCUCGGAAGUUAGAGUUGCUAUGAUGAUGAUUGAAGACUUUGUCCUUAGAGCUUCACAUCAGGAAUCUGACAGCUUAUAUUCGGUUGAACAAGACAUAUAGUACUGUUUACGUGGCCCUUUUUUAGUUCACCUUAAAAUCCUAAAUUUUUUUAAAAUUUCUUAUCACAUAAAUUUUUUGGACACACAUAUAUAGAGCAUUAAAAUAGAUUAAAAAUAACUAAUUACACAGUAACUGUAAUUUGUGAGACGAAUCUUUUAAACCUAAUUAGUUUAUAAUUAGAUAAUAAUUAUCAAAUACAAACGAAAGUGCUACAGUAGCCAAACCUAAAUUUUUUUACCAACUAACCAAGGAGAACCGCUAGGGUCCAAGGCUUUAAUUUCUCUUGCCGUACCAAAAUAACGAUAGCUAUGAUAUUUAUGUCCGUCAAAUUUUCAAGUUUGAUAAGAUUUCUAAAAGAUAGUAUCAAUAUAUGUAUUUCUAAAUAAUCUUUUUUUUAAAAAAUAGUUUGAAUAAUUUAUCUAUAUACUAAUUAUGUAAUAUAGUAUUAAUAUUUUUUAUAUAUUAGUUAAAGUUAAUAACGUUUGACUAUUCCAGAAGCGAUGAUAACACUUAUUUUGGAACAAAGAAGCAAACAUUUUUUUAUUAAAAGCAUCAAGAACUUACAACAACUAAGAGCAUCUUCAAGAGCUUGGCUAAAAUUAGUAGCCAAAUUUUAAUGUUUAGUCAUUUUGUAAAAUAUAUAAGUUUUUAAAAAAGAAGAGGUUCACAACAGCCUUGCUAUCAUAUAGCUAGUGCCAGUGGUUGGCUAUAUAUGGCCAACGAAAAUCAAGGGAUAGCAAAAUUUUUAUUUUAUAAAACCAAAUAACACAUCUGCUGGGGUCUAUUUUUUACUACAAAAGUUCUAAAAGGCCUUCAUAAUAAGAAUAGCAAUAUAUAUAUAUAUAUAUAUAUAGGUGUAGAAUACUAUUCUACACUGAAGUGUUAUACUGAACAGAAUCCAGUAUCGUUCAGUAUUCGUGUUUCAGUAUUGUUCAGUAUUUUGUGGUCCUGAGUGUACUACUAGAUAAUACUGAACAUUGUUCAGUACUACUCAGUAUUUUUUCAGCUCAGUUUUGAUUUGCGGUGUAGAAUAGUAUUCUACACCUAGGGUGUAGAAUAGCGCUACCGUGUGUGUAUAUAUAUAUAAUUAUUCUAUACCACAAGUUAAAACUGAGUACAAAAAAUACUAAGCAAUAUUGAACAACGUUCAAUACCAUCCGGUACUACACCUAGGACUAUAAAUAUUGAACAAAAUACUGAAACGCGAAUACUUAACGUGCAGGAUAGUAUUCUAGAUGUCGAAUAGCAUAGGUGUAGAAUACUAGUAUUCUACACCGAGCUGUUAUACUGAGUAAAUUUCAGUAUCGUUCAGCAUUCAGUGUUUCAGUAUUAUUCAGUAUUUCGUGGUCCUGAGUAUUGGACAAGAUGAUACUGAACACUCUCUAGUAUCACUCAGUAUUUUUUCUACUCAGUUUUGACUUGCGGUGUAGAAUAACGCUACCGUAUAUAUAUAGGUGUAGAAUAGCGCUACCUAGGUGUAGAAUACUAUUCUACACCGAACAAUUGUAAAAUAAAUUUAUGUCAAGCUUGGUGCUCUCCUUCACAUCAGUACUUGCUUGGCUAGAAGACAAUUAUUAUACAUGCUCUAAGCAGUAGUUACAAAGUAUGUAGUUAUUUAAAAGGUAUAGAGCUAACAUGCUUUCCCUAAAGAAACGGUAAUAAAGAAGACUGGUUGCAGGUGGCAAUGCAACUCUAACUUCUAAGACCGACUCCAACAGCUACAAGGCAAAACGGUGACCCAUUUCAAGGUUUAGGUGCUGCAUAGUAAAUGACUUACAGACCCAAAAACGAUGUUUUCCAACAACCGGAAGGCAAAGGGAGCCCCAUCCACUCGUCUCCCUCCCCGCUCCGCUCCUCUCCCUCCCCGCACUCUCUGCAUGCAGUGCCCACCUCCCUCCUCGCCGAUGAGCUUGCUAGAGAAAAGGGAGCAACCAUGACCGAGCUCGCCGAGGAAGAAGGCAUGGGCCAGAUUUGGUCUAAGCGCAUGAGCAAGUGCACGGGGAAGUUUCGCCGCGACCGCAUGGAGGAGCUCUGGCCUGCCGCCGCGCGGGCGAGCGCGUGGGCAAGCUUGGGGCGGUGGGCGCAGGUGAGCGCGUGGGGGAGCUUGGCCGCGACUGCACGGAGGAGCUUCGGUCCGCCGCCGCCGCGCAGGUGAGCGCACGGGGGAGCGCCGGCACCGCGAGUCCGCGUGCGCGCGGCCGUGUGGGGGAGCUUUGAGCGGCCAGCGCAGGCGAGCGCGUGGGGGAGCCGGCACCGCGAGCGUGCAGUCAACCUCCGGCCCGCCGCCAAGCAGGCGAGCACGCGGCCAACCUCCGGCCUGCCGUCAUCCUUUGGACCCACCAUUAUCGGCGCAACAGGAUUGCAUCACGGGGAAGAGAAGACACAUAUUUGCGUUUUGGCUCAGCUGGUACCCAAAAUGGGUGUUCCAUUUGCAUAUGCUGUUGGAGACUAUUUUUGGUACCCAAAACACUGUGCACUACCUAAAAUGCGUUUGGGUCACGCUUUGGCUGCUCUGUUGGAGACAGCCUAAGCAGUAGUUGCGAAGUAUUUAGUUAUUUGAAAGGUACAGAGCUUGCCAUUUGCAUUGACCACUAAUACAUGGCUUGAUAAUGACUUGGCGUUAGUUGUUGUAAGUCCUUAUUUUUUUAAUACAAAACAUUUACUUUCAUCUACGUGUGUAACUGAGUCUCGCAAAACUAAGUAUCAUUCUCGCUACCCAAGUAGUCAAACAUUUUUAACUUUGAUCAUAAGAAAAUAUUAAUAUUAUGGUACAUAGUUAGUAUCAUUAGAUAUAUAUCAUUGAAUCUAUUUUUUCUAUAAUAAAUUUAUUUGGAUAUACAAAUUUUGUUAAUAUUUUUUAUAAACAUAGUUAAACUUAAGAAAAUUUGAUUGACAUGAAUACUAUAACGACCUUUAAUACUUCUAUGUUGGGAUUGGUUACGGGUUACAACUUUUUUUUGGAACUUAUCAGAAUGUGUUCCUAUUUAUUGGUAGGCUUUUUGUUCACGCAACCGAUUGCACCGAGUGCUUGUCAAAAAGCUUUUGUAAACUACUCAUGUAGGGGAUUUUGGUAUGUUAUUAGGAAUUUUAGAUUGAGAAGUAGAUAGUAUAAGGACACUUCCAAUGUAGAAACCACCUUUUCAUAACAUUAAUUGUACUGUCACCUAAAUGUUUUGCUCAUGUAGCAGCUAGUUAUUAAAGAAAGAAAGCAGAAAUCAUAGAAACUGAAUCUAAGUUAGAAAACAAUGUCUACAUGAGAACCAAGACAUGAAGUGAUGUGAUUGGUAGAGAAUAGAGAGAGAAUGUAUGUGAUUGGAUAAAAAAUUAUUAUGUAGAAACUAUUUAUUGGGACUAUAUGAUUUCUAUAUGUAAUGUCUAUAGAAAUUAAUAAGUACAGAAACUACACGUAGUUUCUAGCAUUGAGAUUGCCCUAAGAGAGCUUUAGACCUUAGUGGUUCUCCUGCAAAUAGACAUUACUAAGUCCUUGUUGUUUAUCUGAAUAUAAGCUACCAGAUUCGUGCCACUAUGUAAAGCUCCAAGGGCAAAGUCUUCAAGCACCAUGGUAGUUAGCAAUGAGGUGUUUGGUUUGAGAUGUUAAAAUUUAGCAAGUACUGUAGCUUUUUAUUUUAUUUGAUAAUUAGUAUCUAAUCAAGGAUUUAUUAGGCUUAAAAGAUUCGUCUCUCAAAUUACUCUCAACUGCGUUUUUAGUUUUGUAAAUAGUCUUACUCCAUUCAUGUGUUCAAACAUUUGGUGUGAUAGGUAAAAAAAAAUCAGCACAAACCAAACAGUAUAUAUUGCUUGUAUUAUAAGCACAAACCCACCAGCUCCUCCUUGAAAAUCAUUGGCUCUGUUAACUUGUAUUAUAAGCCGUAUAUUUUCUGCUAGCGAGCAGUGUUUUUCUUCCAUAAUUAAUAAAUCAACGAACAGUAUCUUCAGCCAUGACUUUUCGGAUAAACGAGAUAUCAUCUGUCACGGUAGCCUGGAGCCACUUCAGAUUUCGAGGUAGAAAAUGAAAUAAGAAGAGGAGCUGGUGGAGCCACGAUUUGCAGCUUCUCCAACUCUGUGCUACAGUACCAGAUUGUACAUGUGAUUUGUGAAUGUCAUUUUAGAAGCUUGCCAAUCCACUGUAUGGUAUCCAUGCUCCUCCAAAAAUGCCAUGGACAUAAUUGGCAGCAAGCAUUGUGCUUUCCUUUGGACGAGCACUGAAAAAUGCAUACCUUGUCUACCUCGCCGAAGAUACUGGUGGACUUGGGGUGCACAAUUUGACCAUCAAAGACAUUGCCUUCUUAUGAAGUUUGUUCACAAGCUGCUCUCCCCCGAUACCUUCGCAUGGAAAUCCUUGAUUCUUCGUCAUGUUGGUCUGGACCUAGGUUGGUGGGGUGAUCGCACAUCAUUCAUGACGAGCUUCGGCGUUUCUGUUCCCUGACCGUAGUGCAUCUGGGUAAUGACAAAUCAAUUCCUUCUGGCUGGAUCGAUAGUUAUUGUCUGAACCAUUGGCCGAUGCCUUCCCUGUCCUCUCCUCUCAAUACAUCAAGGUUGUGUUCAUGAUAUUCUCUGUCCGGCGCUGGAAUAUAUUCUUCAUUCAUGUUGUUCUUGCCAUGGUCACCGCCUAGCUAUGAACACUCUCAAUCAAUUAAGGGCGUGUUUGGUUGGAAGUGUUAAAGUUUAACAGGUACCAUAAUAUUUUCGUUUUAUUUGGUAACUUGUGUCAAGUCAUGGAUUAAUUAGGUUUAAAAGAUUCGUUUCACAAACUAUUCUCUAGCUGCUUUUUUAGUUUCGUAAAUAGUCUAUUUUUAGUACUUCAUGUAUGUAUCCAAACAUUCGAUGUGACGGAAGUUAAAGUUUAACAACAAAAACCAAACACGGCCUAAAUGAGCUGCUAGAUGGAUCCGGCCUUGUUUAGUUUCAAAAUUUUUAGUAAAAUGAAUAUUGUAGCAUUUUUUUAUAUUUGACAAAUAUUGUCCAAUCAUGGGCUAGCUGAGCUCAAAAGAUUCAUCUCGUAAAUUACAGAUAAACUAUGUAAUUGCUUAUUCCUUUUAUCUAUAUUUAAUACUUCAUGCAUGCGCCGCAAAAUUUGAUGUGAUGGGAAAUCUGAAAUCUUUUGCAAUUUUUUUUUUGAAGACUAAAUGAGGCCACCUGAGAGCUGACUGAUGUAGUUGACUCCCACUUCGGCAGACUUCUCCGGCAUGGCACGGGAGCGUACCACUUCCUUCAUGUUACGAGCAAGGUUAAGAAUAGAGCCAAGUGGUUGACUAUAAGCCAAGUGAUUAGAGCCAAGUUAUACAAUAAGUUGUCUCAUACUUGUCUCUAAAAUAUCUUCUCUUUCUUAUUCGAUCUCACAACAUUUGCUAUUUGGGCCCAUCACUACCUAUGCAUUCGUGCCCAGUUUGGUGCUUACAUGAGAGCCAAGCUAUCAUCUCUCUCCUCUUUUCUCUCCUCCACAUCAGCAUUAGCUUGGCUAUAAGCCUAUUAUUAUACCUGCUCUAACAACGCUCCUGAUCAAUGUGCUCAGUAGAUCUGGAAAUACACAGGCUUCCAAGGAAGAUAAAGUUCUUUGGUUAGUUCCUCAACAUCAGCAAAAAACUUUUGAACCGAAGGCACCAUGUGGACGAUGAUCUAUAUUUAAUACUCUAUAUAUGUGUCCAAACAUCUGAGCAAAUCUCUUCUAUUGAAACAUUCGUGGAUCGCCACUUGAAGAUUCAUACUAUCAAAGCUGUCCCAAAGAUUAUGGCAAUAGGCGACCACAUCUUUCUUUCAUGCAUCUGUGCCAGGCGUCGUCCCUAGCUCAUUAUUGGCGCCCCCGACUGUCUGUAGUGUACGAAUAUGAUUUUGAUCAUCCUUUGGAAGCUUUGGAACUCGUGAAAUAGGUUGAUUUUCAAUAGCUAGAUGAUUCUCCUCGGAAAGUAUUUUCUAUAAUUAGAUCAAUCUCAAUAGGAUUUCAUAAGAAUUUCAUAAGCAUUAAAUUACUGACAUGACACUGUAUUUAAGCCCUGUUUAGAUCCAUAGGGCUAAACUUUAGCUUACCUAUUUUAAUCAUAUUUUAGCCCUCAUGGAUACAAACAUGAGGACUAAAAGAAGCUAAACUUUAGUCCACCCCUUUUCCAUUAGCCCUCCAAAAUGAGCUAAAGAGGGCUAAAAGUGAUCAUACGGGGCAAAAUACGCAUACUACCCCACCUACCUUAUGCAUGGCUGUGCAUAAAUAUUAAUUAGAGACAAAUAAGUUAUGAUAGGUACAUGGCUAAUCUUUAGCCCCGAAUCUAAAUAGCCCCAGGACUAAAGAUUAGCUGGCUAAAGUUUAGCCCAUGGAUCCAAACAUAGUCCUAUGAAGAUACAGAUUACAAGAGUUUUAUAGGAGCAAAAAUCUAAAGCUUUAUGGAGAUAAAACUCUUGCGUACUAUUUUCAAAAUAUAGGUGUAUUUAAAAUUUGGACAUUAAAUCUCAUCUGAGACUGACCUUAGACACAUGCACAUCGGUUAGCUUCGCGUAAUUAUCUCUCGAACUGUUGUAGCUCUUUAGUUUAAAUUUCUCCCUUCUCCCAUGUACUUCGACACUGUGGCCUGCAAAGGUUAUUUUUGCUAAAGCUUCCAGCCCUUUCAUUCAAUGAGAUAAGUUAGUGGAGCUUUGCCGCCGGCGGUUAACGCCGCCAACGCCCUCACCCCACCCAACCCCCAAUUUUUUUUUACAACAACACCCAACCCCCAGUUGGUUGAAGAACAAAAUAACUCAAAGCCGACUAUACUAGAAAGCUAACAGCAACGAGAUAUACUGGGAGCUAACGUAUAUGGACAACAUUUCAACGAGGAGGGCAACUUGCCAUGUGGCUGAACUCGUUUUUUAUUCCAUCUCUUGUAACUUUCGAGUCGCUCUCGUCCCCAUCCUCUUCGCACUCUCUUCUAUAUAAACAUGAGGAGAGCAAAGAGAGCAUAUAUAUAAGAAAAAGCAACGUCUCCUCUCGUACAUAUCAAAGGGAAACUUCAUUCCCAUUCGCCGCAAAUACACACAUUCUCUCUGUGCCUACGACCGAGCGAGCUUUAAUUUUCGGAUUGAUCGAUGGCCUGCACUACGGCAGCAUCCCUGCAGCAUGACAAGGCCAACGACGACGAGGCGUGCAUGUACGCCCAGGAGCUCCUGUUCAGCUUCAUCGUGCCCAUGACACUCAAGGCGGUCAUCGAGCUCGGCCUCAUCGACUACCUCCUCGCCGCCGACGGCCGCUCUGUGACCCCGGAGGAGCUGGCGGCGGAGUGGCCGCAGUCAGCCGAGGCGGCCGCCGCGGUGGACCGCAUGAUGCGGCUCCUCGCGUCGCACAGCGUCGUCAGGUGCACGACGGAGGUGGGGCCGGAUGGGAAGGCCCGCCGGAGCUAUGCCGCGGCGCCGGUGUGCAAGUGGCUCGCCACUCGGAACGCCGGCGGACAGGGCUCCUUGGCUCCUAUGGGGCUGAUGAACCUAAACAAGGCGUUCAUGGAAACCUGGUACCUACAUACAUACGUACUACUAUAUAAACGUGCACAUCAUUAAUUCCUACGUAGUACGUAUACCGUGCAUUCGCGUUGUUUAGUUCCUAAAAAAUUUGUAAAAUUUUUUAGAUUUGUCGUCAUAUUAAUUGAAUCUUACGGCACAUGCAUGAAGCAUUAAAUAUAGAUUAAAAAAUAACUAAUUGCACAGUUUAUCGGUAAUUUGCGAGUUGGAUUUUUUGAGCUUAGUUAAUCUAUGAUUGGACAAUACUUAUCAAAUACAAACGAAAAUGCUAAUACAUUUUGCAAUUUUUUUUUUCAACUAAACAAGGCCCUAGCAUAGAGUUUCAACGGGCCGUCAAAAUCAUGCAUCAUUCAACCAGAUUGGAAAAGUUCAUAUAUUUCAUAUUAAAAACAAAUAUGUUAGAUCUGUUUGAUGUUAAUAUGGUAUAUAUUUAUAGUUUUUUAAUUAAAAAGUGAGUGCACUUAUUUAAAUUUGUACCUAUCUACUUUAUUUAAUAUUAAAGAGCGCAAAUUUCUCUCCCACAAUUCCCGUCAUUCAGUUUCUCCCGAUCGAGUCUCUCUGUCGCCAUCAAGCAUAAGAGUAUCGACCAAUUUACUAAUAAGACUCUAAUGUAAGAGUAAUAGAAUGUGAUGAAUAGGCAAGCUAAGUUACAACUCUUAUGAACUAUUAGCGCGUAUUAGUAACUCCAAACAUUCUAAUAAAACUAAUAGUUAGCAGCCCUUUAACUAAUAAUUAGCAUGUCAGUUUAGAUCCACUAGACCAAUUUUAGUGCUAAUGGAGGAGUUUGGAUCCACUAGUACUAAUUUUAGUGUUAAUGGAUUCAAAUAGGCCCACUGAAGAAGUCGUAUGACAGCCGAAAUUAUAAUCUGACUUGACUGGAAGCUUUUUUUUUGUGACUUGACUUGAUUGGAAGCUAGGACUCUUAUGACUGCAAGAUAGUGAAUUUGGUGCCCAUGAUCUAGUUGCUUAUUAAUUAAUCAGACUGUUCGGCUGCUUGUAUAUGCAGCCGUUACUGGCUGUUAGCACAGUACAUUUGUGACUGGGAGGGGUAUAUCCAGCCGUAAUUAAUAUAAGAGGUGGCAACGAAUGAUACAUGAUGAAUAAUCGCAGGUACUUUAUGAAGGAGGCCGUGACGGAGGGAGCGACACCGACCGAGAAGGCCUACGGCAUGCCGCUGUUCGAGCACCUGGGGUCGGACGAGGCGUCCAACACGCUCUUCAACCAGGCAAUGGCCGGCCACUCGGAGAUGAUAAUCAAGAAGCUGCUCGAGGUUUACCGCGGCUUCGAAGGCGUCGACGUGCUCGUCGACGUCGGCGGCGGCACCGGCUCCACGCUGCGCAUGGUCACCGCCCAGUAUAAGCAUCUGAGAGGCGUCAACUACGACCUCCCCCACGUCAUCGCGCAGGCGCCGCCGGUGCAAGGUCAGUCCGUGUUGCCUUGUUGGCGGUGGCUACACAAAAUUCACUUCGUGUGCUAACACAACACAAACACACACACUUCCUGUGCAGGUGUGGAACAUGUAGGUGGCAGCAUGUUUGAGUACAUUCCGAGCGGAAAUGCAAUUCUGUUGAAGGUCUGUUUCGUUAGCUUAUCAUAUUAUUUAUCACAAUAAUUUCAUGCAUGGCAACCCACGUCAGAGUUCAGAUACAACCGAAUAUGUUUGUUUAUUUAUUUUUUUUGUCAACAACAACAAUAAAAAAAACAAACAAACGGUGCAGUGGAUUCUCCACCUGUGGCGCGACGAUGAGUGCGUGAAGAUCCUCAAGAACUGCCACCGGGCGCUCCCGGCGAACGGGAAGGUGAUCGUGGUGGAGUACGUGCUGCCGGCGAGUCCGGAGCCGACGCAGGUUGCGCAGGUCUCGUUGCUCCUGGACGUGGCGAUGCUGAACCGCCUCAGGGGCGCCAAGGAGCGGACGGAGCAGGAGUUCGCCCAGCUGGCCGCGGAGGCCGGCUUCUCCGGCGGGUGCAGGGCCACCUACGUCUUCGCCUCCGCCUGGGCGCUCGAGUUCACCAAGUAGCUACCUGCUCGAUCGGCGCUCGCGCGCGGUGGUCUCAUCAGGAUCGGAGGUCGGGAGGUGGCUGGCACGACGACAUUUAUUUAUAUACUUAUCUAUGACCGGCUUUAAUUUGUGCUGGUUUUUCCUUUUUCAUUCGAGAAAACGUAACAAGGACAUACGCUGAUCCACGAGGGCGUGUGUCGGUAAUGCAUUAUGUACUUGUGCUUAUUUUUGUUUCCCGUACCAGGUGUAACCGAAUUUCGUUACCACAAAAGCAAUAUGUAUACUUAUGUUUGUUGGCCAUUUUGUUGCCUACUAUAUAAACACAGCUCGUACCAGCACACUGAGUUUCACUGUUUCCUACCGCUGUACCAGUAGACGCUCAGGAUGGGAUUGCCAGUGAAGUUAGUCCUCGGAUAUUCAAAAUUCAAUGAACAGCAGUACAGCACGUUGUAAACAAAUCGAAUCGACACGAGGCCGGCCGGGCCGGGGGCUCACGACGCCAGGGUGGUGCUCGGGCAGUUGUCGACGCCGCAGGCCAGGACGUCGCGGUAGUCGCGGGAGACGGUGAAGUGGUCGUGCACGCUGCCGUCCCGGCUCUUCUUGUACUCAAACAGCAGCGUCGUGUGGUUGAACGCCGUCAGCUUCGCGAACCCAAAGUCGCGGUCCCGCACGUGGCUCCACCGCGCCCGCACGGCUGUGUAGUCGGCGAGGCUGGCGCCGCCGCCGCCCACCACGACGUGCGUCGUCGCCGUGAAAGCGCCGGUGUAGAGGUUAGACCCCUUGGCGACACACGCGUUCUGCGUUUCACACAAAUCCAACCAGAGUGAUAUACAAAAUGAGCGUCAACUAGCUAAGCUAGCCACAGGAGAUGGAAUGAAGCUGAGAAGAACCUCGUAUACUGGGCAGGUCCGCUCGUAGCCGUGGACGUGGCCAUACAUAGCGAUGUCGACCUUGUGCUUCUGCCAGAGUGACUGAAGGCUCUCGCGUCCCAUGGGCUCCUCGGUUGUUCCUUCGUCGGCGUAGAAGGUGGCAGACGAGUAACCCAGAACACGGUGCGCGAGGAAGAUGAGCCAUGGCUGUUUCUGCCGAUCAACAGACGACAGGCAGUGCUCGAUGAACCUGUACUGCUCCGUGCCUGCCCUCCAGUCCAACUCGGUAUUGGAUAUGCAGAAACGGAACAUCCCGUAGUCCAUUGAGUACCUAAAAGGAUAAGCUGGUGUUCGAUGAGAGCUUCUUGGAGACAAAAUUGGAAAAUACUGCAACUUUCUAUUCUAGGGGAAAAUCAGAAGGACAGUGAUGCACAGCUCAGCUCCAUGAACAAAUAGCUUCAAUACUGCAUUUGGUAAUUUCUGCCAAUGAGGGAGUUUGUUUUUGUGGGUAAGUGAGUAAUGAAAUUUCAGUCUCAAACACCAUGAAACUUUGUUAACUUUUUCUUUGAACGAAUAAAAGGUUGUUAAACAUCCUCUUGCCUGUCUAUUCUAUAUUCAAAACGGAAUUCUUUAUUUCCUUUUAGUUGGACCUGAGAGAUCUUUGUAUUUGACCACCUAUAGCUUCAUGUUUAAUGCUAUGCCUUCAAUCUCGACCAUAUCCAGGCGAAAGUUUUCUUACCAGAACUGCUCGCGGUUUUCUGCUGGCACGUAGAACAUAUUCUGAGCUGGUACCCCACAUUCACCACCUGAGUCAAGAUUUCCGUAGAAAGAUCCUGAUCCAGGCCAAUCCCUUUCGUGGUUACCACUGCAACCACAAAUUAGUAGUAUCAGAAACAUAUUAAAACUGUUCCAUUUCAUUAUCAUUUGAUUUGAUCUGUUGUCAAGUUGGAAUCCUGGACGAACCUCGCAACCAUGUAAGGCACAGUAGAAGCAAUGGGCUCAACCUGUGCAGUGAAUUGAUCCCAUUGUGACAGAUAGCCAUUGGCAUAUGCGAUGUCUCCAAUAUGGAAAACCACAUCAAUAUUCUUCAAGUCUUUAAUUAGCUGGUUCGUUGUGUUAAGUGAAGCAGGCUCAAAGCCAUUGAACUCAUUUGAACCAUCAACCUCAGCCUGAUAAAAGAAGUUCAAACGCCAACUUUAGUGUCAAGCAGUUAAAAGAAACAUUAUUACUUGUUAGUUUGAUCUGAGAUGAGAAAAGGGGCUAAUAUUUCCAGCACCAACAAAACUAACAAUGAAAAUACAACAUUUUGGUGGAUAAGUUCCUAGGUAAGAAAGUAGAUAAAGGUAGAUGCUGAAGGUCGAGAGAUUCUAAAUUGGCCUUCUGUCAAUAGCUGUGCAGUAGGCAUCGGUCUAAUAAUUCUAUUGCAUGAUUGCAUAGGAAAAAGAAAGGAUAAGCAUCUUGCAGAUUUUGGCAUCAAAUUCGUACCUUGCCCAUAUCCCCAAAAAUUACAACACGUUGCAAAGAGUCUUCCCCAGGAUAAGGAGGUGCUUUGAAGCUAUACUGAUGUCCCCAAACUAUAGAGCCAUUAAAAAUGUGAUGACCAACUUGGUAUGUGUACCUGAAAUUUGAACUCAUAUGUAAAACUUGUCGCCCCUUGUAGUAGCACAAAUGAAUAGCUAACAAAAGAAAGAAAUGAAGAUGCAAACAGGUUGUUUGAGCUUCAAUUACAAGAGAUUGGGCCAUAAUUCCUUGAGAAAACUUGUGUGUAUGAAACCAGGAUCACGCCAACCAACUGUCCUUGCAGGAGGACCUGAAAUAGAGCCAUAAAGGUACAUAGUAAUGAUAAUGUUCUUAUUAGGUACCAUAGCAACGUUAAUGACUCAUUGGGUUUCAUGAAAAGUGAACACAUCAAUCACACUUAGCUUUAGAACACUGAAAAAACUAAAUCCAAUUCAAAGCAUAGGAAUUGUUGGACAUUGUAAUUUUAUCCUAAGAUAGAUCCCUACAUUUCAGAUAAAAAUUGAGGAUAAUACUCUGUAUUUUUGCAGGAUACAGUAAGAGAAUUACUAACCACACAUGGUCUCGCGACUGAAAGUAAGGGUGCCUGCAGGAGAAAGGAUUUGGAUUUGCCCUUGUAUGCCCCAUCUGACAAAUGGUGUAGCCUCAUUUGUACCAUACCCACUUGUCCAUGUAACUGUCAUCUAGAGUCACUAAAAAACAGUAAAAAUCUUGUAGAUAUGAUAUGAAGCGAUUUCAUUCUUGAAAGCAGUUAUGUGCACUUUUUCUUAAAAACCUUGAUAACUAUGAACAAAUUCUAAAGGUAAAACUAAGAAAGUACUCAUCUAAAUAAUAACUAGCUGAAAUAUCUAAGUUCUUGUUUUGAGUUACUUUAAAAUUAUUUGCGAAUUAAUAAUUUGAUCAAAAGAAAAUGUUACCUUACAGCUACAAAAAAAGUGCAUUAGAGAAAUGACCCAAAUCUGUCACCUAUUUGCAUUCAUAAAAUUUUCUUUUGUGGGUCAUAUAAAACAGUGUUCAGUCGAUGUUUCCUUCAUUACUUACAAGGGGGAAAAAGUGAAAAUGAUACUUACUUCAUUCCAAGAUUUUCCUUGUGCUAAGCGUGGGAACACCGGAGCCUUUGGGUUGAUGAAAGUAACACUCUUUGAGUGGGCGAUGAGCUUUGGCUGUAUAAUUACACGAAAAAUGUGCAUAGUCAUGCUAAAGCACAUACUAGUUAUCCAUCAUGGUAUGCAGACAAAGAAACUAAGAAUAGUAAAAAAAACUGGCAGCAAUAUUAGUGAUCCAAAAAUAAAAAACACAAUGGUACUGUAGAGGUUGUACACAGUUUGGGUUAAAAAACAAGGUGCUCUUUGCUAAAAAUCUAAACACGUAGUUUGGGUUAAAAAAUAAUCUAAAUGCUAAAUUAAAACAGUUCUCUUUUGUUUUAAAGAGAUGACAAGGUGCUCAUUGCUAAAAAUCUAAGUGAGAGACUUUUACUAGCACACCAUGUUUAGUGGUGUAUUGGCGUUUGAACUCUAUAGUUGGAAUAUGACUGUAGAGGUUGUAAAUGGCUCGUAGGUUGUGACAGCAACUGGCAGGGAACUUAUUGUAAUAUUUAUAAACCAACAAUAAAAAAACAUAUAUCAUGCUUAGUUAAUAAUGUGUUCAAGGUGGGCUACAAUUGUCUAUCAGGAAAUGGAUAAAAUUGUUUAGGAUGUAUAGUACUGAUAGCUUAGAUACCAAAUGAAAAGGUCUAAAUUUUUUAAACCCUGCAGUUCAAUAGAUUGAUUCACAAAAAGAAGAGCAUUAAGCACAUACAUUCGACAGGCCUCCAGAGAACAAUGCAAAUGAGAAACCCUCUCUCUGAUUUAUCAGCUGAAGCUUCAAGGAUCCCUUUCCAGUGUUUCCAUAAUCACGAUUCGUGUAGUUUGCAAAUUGGAACUGCCGAAAUAUGAAGCUUCCUUCAGCAUAUGUUCAUAUAAGAGUUCUGAAGUCACCUAAACUUCACAUGGAGAAAGCUCACAGGAAACUAGCCCAACCUUGAUAGGAGCUGUGCAUAAAAGAGGGGACUCCACCCAUUCGUUCUCUUGUGGACAAAUGGAAUCACUGACAAAUCCAUGGAAACAAAAUACACAAGAUCAGUCCAGCUUUCCAUUUAGCAAGAAGCAUGCAGUAUUCUACCAAAGCAAACAGCAGAUAGUGUAUCAGUUUAUACUUGAAAUUAGCAGGAGAGAAGACUCCAAUCCAGUCAUCCUUCGAAGGCCUGGGGUUACUAUAUGUGACGGUCACCCAUUCUCUGUCCUCCCCCUGCAACAAAUAAAGCAGCCGAUAAUCUAAUAGCAGCAGAGGGAACCAUUAGAGAGGGCAAUGGCCCUACAUAUAACCUAGCUUGUGCUGCAGAUUUAAGCCCUAUUUGGACAAUCGAGCAUCGAGCGCGCAUAUUUCUAAUGAUGAAUUGCAAAAACUCAGCCCCGAAUUGCGACAAAACUCUCAAACUACUAUACAUGCAUACUCUGUAGAGCUUAGAGCACCUCGAGCCCACGAACUGAUGGCGCCCACUCGAAUUAGCCUGAGGCGCCAGCGUUUUAGAGGGCUCACCUCCAGGCCGAGAAGGGCCGGCGACGCGUCGACGAAGGCACCCGGCUGGGGCGCAGCGGUGGCGCGGUGGAUGGCGAUCCUCGACAGCGGCUGCACGCCACCUCCCGCAGCGGCGGCGCCGGCGCUGGCGAUAAGAGCGAGCAGCGCAUACACCGUCACCGCCGCCGCCGUUCUGGGCAAUGACAGCAUCGUGCUCGGUUGCAACCAGCAGACGAACUCUUCUCGCUUUCUGUAUACCAUUUUGUGGGAUAAAAGCGAGCCAAUAAAUUAUGGAACGCAGGAACAGUCGGCAAAUCAAAGAGUGACGUCUAAGCUACAAUAGGGGAGAGCCUGACCUGACGUCUAAGGUAAAAGUAAUGGCGAAUCUGAAGGCCCUUUCGAAAAGCAAAUUUCAGAAACCCGAGCUAACCGAUGGCCUUUUUUUUUUUUGAAAUAACCGAUGGCCUGUUUGAAACACAAGCAAAUGCCAACCACCUCGAUGUCAACGGACAUGCCUAUUUAAGUCAAAAGACUCAGACCUAUUUCACCACAAAGAUAACCUUCAUUUGAAUGGACCUCCAGUUUCAUAUUCGGGAUAAGCAUCGAUGCGUCAUACUCAGUUAAGCAGCGGAAUAUCAAGGGUAUUUGGAUCUGAUCUAGGCUAGUCCGGUGAUUACUGGAGGUUUAACAGAAUAUCCAGAGUAUUUGGAUCCGAUCUAGGCCAGUCCGGUGAUAACUGCAGGAGUUCUCCACCUAACUUGAAUUUGAACAUGCCGAGGAGAAGCCGAAAUGAAAAUUACCAUGGCCUUGUUUAGUUCACCCUGAAAACCAAAAACUUUUCAAGAUUUUCCGUCACAUCAAAUCUUAGAGCACAUGCAUAAAGCAUUAGAUAUAGACGAAAAUAAAAACUAAUUGCACAGUUUGCCUGUAAAUCACGAGAUGAAUCUUUUGAGCCUAAUUAGUCCAUGAUUGGAUAAUAUUUAUCAAAUAAAAACGAAAAUACUACAGUGCCGAAAUCCGAAAUUUUUUCGGAACUAAACAAGGCCUGCACAUGUCCUGCCAUUUUCCUAAGUGCUUCCACGCGAUGUCUGACCUUAGGCUGAUUACAGAAAUUAAAUUUGCAUGAUAGUGGAUACAAAAAUGACAGGCUCGAACAAUUUUAUAAUACCGACAUUGAAACGUUACCAGUUCAGCAACCGUCCAAUCUAAAAACAAAAAGGUCAUCAUAUCUGAGCCAAAACAACAUACGGUUCUUUUUUUUUUUUUGAAAGAACAGGAAGGGCAAGGAGCCCCUACUGAGAAUAUAUUAAAAAUAGUGAAACAUACGGUUCAUUUUGACUACACCACAAUGAAUACAAGUUCAAAGAAAAAUCCCAUCGCCUGUUAGAAUUACUACGGAACAAGAACAAGGAGCUCGAUUGCCUCUUCGAUUCAGAAGAUGCACCAGGGCAGCAAGCAUCCUUAUCAGCAAUAUCGAUCUCACACUAGACUACGUUAGCAGACCCAGUUUUAAACAGCCCAAAAUGGUUUCUGCUCUGAACCAGGAGUUGGACUGCCCUUGGGUAUGUUGUCUGUCACAUCAGUAUCGUCGUCGUCGUCAUCAUCAUCAUCAUCAUCUCCAUAAUCAAUAAGUUUCAGCAAAGUAUCUAUAAAUGAACACCAAAGAUAAUAUGUAAAUUAGCGAAGUUAAAUCAUAUCCUACACACAAAGGAAAUUAUUGUGUGCAAUGUUACCAGACACAGGUGUGCCUUUUGUUUGUUCCUCAGGCUCCUUUGGUCGUUGUUGAGAUGGCAGGACUGAUUUUGCAUCCAAGGGCCUUGGAGGUGCUGUCAGCUCUUUUAAAGCAAAAGUCUUGUUCUCAUUUCUUGACAAUAACUCAUCUGAAGGAAAUUUUGGUGGCAGCGGAGGCAUGCUCUUAGACGGUGGCGGUAGCAUGUUUUUGGGUGGCAGCGGCGGAGGCAUGCUCUUGGGCGGUGGCGGUGGCAUGUUCUUGGUUGGUGGCGGCAGCAUGCUCUUCAGGGGUGGUGCUGGCAACUUAGUGGAUAUAGAGAGAUGUGAUGGCAUAUCCGCUUCUUCUAGCGGAAGCAUUCCAUUUGAUCCAGGAUGAACUUUCUUUGGAGGUGCAAUUGAUGAGCUCCCAAUGUAACCUAAACUAUCUAAACCUGUCUUAACAAAUUUGGAUCCCUGUUGUGAGUUCUGGAAAGAUGAAAGAAAACAAGAACACUCAUCCAUCAAAUUCCUGUGUGUUAGAGUAGGUAAUGCAUGAAUGGAAUCAGAAACAAUUUUGCAUACACAGCACAAAUAUGAGCAAUAUUCAUAUGGAAGCACAAUACUAGCUAGCAUGACUCUUGACAGGUUCAGAAUGUUAUCUUAAUUUUGAAAGAUAGAAGCAAAUAUACUGUAAAUAUAAUUUUCAUAUUGGGAGACUCUAAUAACAUAAGAUAUACACAUAAGUGUAGGAGACAAUGCAGGAAACUAACAACACCCUAAGUCUGAGUCUGCUUAACUAAGUGAAGAAGUUUCAUAUGGAUUAUGGAAGGACUUUUUGUAAUUUGUAUAUUUAUAUUGCUUGGAGCUUCCACUGAAUGAGAAGAUUUUGCAAAUGCAAAACUUUCUCCAAAGAGUGGAAAGAAAUAAAAUGUAUCAAAACCUACUAACAAUAUAUUAACUGAUCAACUAAUAACAAGACUACACCAACCAAGCAAUUUCAAAACUCAAGGCAUGCUAGCAAUGUUAAUCAACAGUAGUGAACUGUGUGAGCGAACAGAAACAGACCAAACGCAAAGGUUAAAUUUCUAUUUUCUGAAAAAAGUAACAAGAUAUUUGAAGAGCUCUGCAUCUUGUCAGUUACACUCCAUAGGUAAUGCAAACUCCAACUUGUUACAAGCCUGUGAAAAAACCCACAUGUAUUGCCACCUGUGAGCUUCAGACAAGGUCAGAGAAAAUACCUGGAAUGAAAUGAGAUGUUAGAAGCAGAUAAAAGAAUACAACAAAAAACGAUGAUGCCAAUCUGGCAAUGCAACUAUUGCUUUUAAUAGUAUUGUUAAAUUUGGAUUGUAGUCUCCAUUAAGAGAACUGCAAGAACUACAGGAGCAAGCAAAGUUCCUUUCCUUCAAAAGAAGUUAGAUUUAUAAUAGUUAUUAAUUUCCAAGGUGCUAAACAAGAACUAAACAGUAAGAUCAUUAUAUUUCUUCAGGUACAAGUAUAAAAACAUAUUAUCAUGAAUUGCAUGUGGAAUAUUUGCUGUUGCAUCAAAUCUCUCGGUUAAUCAAAAGUGCUUCCCUUGUUUCAAGGAGGCAUCAUAAAGGGCAAUAUUUUUUUAUGCAGAACAUUUUGAUGUUAAUAGAUGUCACAGUGUCAUUCUAAAUUUUUUAAAAAAAAAUCACAGUGUCAUACAAAGUUUUCCUUGUAGUUGACAGAGCAAAAGUGUACACCAAAGUUACAAACAAAAGCAAAUAUGCCAGGAAUUCGAAAUCCUGAUAUUGAAAUCGCCUUGAAAGUUGUGUUGAUAAGAGUCAAUGGGCUAUCAAAAGAUUCAAAAGAUGGCACAAGCCAAGCUAAGAAAGGAGAGAACAAACAAGGAUGAGAGAGUAGGGAAGAUGUCAUCAAAUCAGGAUAGGCAUCUAGUGAACACCAUAGGGAAGGAAAGGGUAGCCAUGGAAUUUAGAUUAAUCACAUGAGAGGUAAUACAGAGAAAAGGAGGUGAAUAGAGGGGACAUCAGAACAAGUACAUACAAAAGAAGAGCUUAAAAAGGUUGUUGUAGCUCCUGUAGUUAAGAAUUAAAUCGAGGCUAUAUCAGAAAGAAAAACAGAACUAAUUGUACCUGACUUUCUGUUGCUGGACCCUUUGAAACUGGUAGUUCCUGGAAUUUUCUUCGGGAACGUUUAUCCAUCUCCACAUCCAAGGUUGAGUUCUCCUUUGUCCCCAUGCUUGUUGGCGUGGGCGUCACUGGAACAGCCUGAGCUGCUGACGAUGAGGCAUGCUUGAGUGUGAAUGCCACCUGCUGCAAUGGAGUUGCUUGGGGAUAAAUGUCCCCAUAACCACUGUAAAAUGCACCACCAUUUACUGGUGGAAUAGGACAGGCCAUGUUACUGGGUGGUGGAACCCCAGAAUAUGUUGGAGCCCCUGAUUGCACUGUCACUGCAGGAGCAAUAACUCCAGUAGAUGCAAAGGAAUGUGGAGCUCCUGAUAACACAUUGGGCCCUAAAGUAUAGUGAACAUCUGUUUUCACUCCUGAGGUGUCGGUACCAGUUAACAACUGCUGAGGAGGUGGAACAGCACCAUAUACGUUUGAAGAAGAAAUUCUGUCAAAAAAGGGUAUUAAUAAAAUGAAAAUGAUAAGACUUCUGUUGUAGGAUCCAAUAUCAACAAUAAGAAUCUGUACAUGCUUCGAUGUUGGCGAGAAAAGAAAAAGACACAAGAACAUAAAACAAUGGACUGCAAUUCGAACAUGAUGCUAAGAGUCAGUAAGCUUGAAUGCUUCAUACAAUCGUUUCCUUAAGAAAUAAGUAUUUUCAAAGGACAAAGCUGAUAACAUCAAGAUGAGUUAAUGACUAAGCAAAGCAAAUGCUUAACCAAGAAGGUGAGAAUGUGGAUGCAAAGGUUGUAUUUCUCAAAAAAUGGAAAAGAUGCAUGCAAAAAAAAUCAUUUAAUUAAUUAGCAAAUUUGCAUACCUGGAAGCACCGAAUUCUGCUGCUAUUGUAUCCAGCAGGUUCUCUGCCAAAACUUUUGCAGCUUCUAGGUUCUUUAAAUGCAUACUUGCGAGGUAUAGGUGUAGAGGUUGUUGUGAGGCUACAAAGGAUGUAUAGAACACAAUGUAAGCCUACAAAUCAGAAGUUCCUGAAAGCUAUCAAAAUAAUCACCAACCUUCACCAUGACAACUGCCAAGAUUCUCUGAAUCUUUCCCUCUUAGUACAACAGUGACCCCUGUUUCUCUCAUGAUAUGAUUUAUGUACUGAUCCUAUAAUAACAAAAGAGCACAAGCACCAACAGCACAAAAGCAGUUUCUCCCAUCCAAAUUGGGAUGUCAGAGAAAGCUUUAUGAUUAGAUCUUUCAAAAAAAAAGUAAGAAAACAUCACAUAAAUUGAGUAAUCAACAAAAAUAAACUGAGAUAAGCUAAUAACAAAAUGAUAAAAUAAAACCAGGAUCACAUAUAGUUCUACAAAAAAAACAUACAUUUGGACCACGGACUCGAGCUGCGAUAUUCAAUGAUGGAUCUGCAUCAAAACCCAAAAAUAUCGAGGCACUAAAAGGACGAACAGCCUGUGAAAGAUGAAUAGAGAUGAAGUUAAAUUUCUCGAGCAGAAUUUGUUCUAUAGUAGUACAGCAAACAUACUACACUGAUCCCCAUUCGCUCCCAAAAAUGGGUAAAUUUGCUCAUGAUAUGGAGAUAUAGAGGAUUACCUGUCCACCACUAGAGGAGAAAGGGGUCGAUAUAGACUCUGAGAUUGUUCCUUGUUUCAAUAUUUCCUCAAUCAUUGAAGCUGCGCGGUCAACUGCCUUAAUGCGCUCAGCAGUAUCUUUCAACUAGAGAGAGGCCAAAUGCAUAUUAUUAUGUUAUCAAUACUAUAAGGAAUGUCUAUACAGGAUUAAAUAUAGACUAGAAAAAAAUUGCUGCAUGCUGCUACUUAUCACAAUGGCCUUGGCAUUGAUAUCAUGCAAUUUUUUGUUAUAAUAUGGAUGGAUGAUUCAAAAUUAAAACAUUAAAGAGGAAUAUCAUCACAACUAGAUUGCAUUACGCCUAACAAGCAGAUAUGUUAAAUCCCAGUUCCCACAAAAAUCAAAACUAGUGUAUGACCUACUAUAUGUAAUGGCACAAUCACUGUUUUACAACAUUUAUAGUGUGUUUGGUUUGAGGAGUGAGUUAGCUCAUCAUCUUCUCACUCCUCACUUUUUUGUUUGGUUUGUGGAAUGGAAUGGGUUGAUCCAUCAUCACCUCAUUGCUCAACGCUCACAAGCUAAUAAUUAGUACUAGUAUGAGGAUUGAGGAGUGGAGUCAUUCUACCCAAUUUGAGGAAUGGACUCAUGAUGCACCACCCCAUCUAGAAUGGAGUGAUUCCUCAAACCAAGCACCCUACUAGGAAACUUCAGUCAUGGGUUGAGAUCUUUAAGAACUUCAAAGGUAGUUUUAAAAUUCAUACUCCUAAGGUCCUUAGUUCCCAGUUUAACGCCCUUAUAAGCAGUAGCAGUUAAACAAUCAAUAGUCAACUCAAGGCAGACAUGACAGUUCUGUAACUUUACAUGGUGACAACUCAGUAAGUUGUAUUUGACAUAGUAUUAAAAACAAACAAAAAAAACAAUAAGAUAAUUGGCAUCAUCAUAGUUAAAAACAAGAAAGGACGAGAUGGAAAACACAACGAGAUCUUCCAGUAACAGUUAAUGCAUGCAGACAGCCAUAAAAUGGUCCAUUAUAUAGUUAUACAGCUGAUUCAAUAACUGUUGCAGUGCAGAAAUUUCAGGUAUAUAUCACCAAAGUUAUUAUGGUCAGAAUAAAAUGAAGGGAAACGGAAUUCAACAGAAAGAAUAAUAUUUACCUGAGAUCCAGCAGAGAUAUGUAGAUAGAGUGGCUUCUCACCAUCAGGAUGUUCAUUUGGAGGGUGAUAUUUUCCCCUUACAAGGUAAAACAAGUAGUCUCAGGAAUGGACCGUCAAAACCAAGAGGGCAUGUCAGAUUUUACCUAGUAAUGAUGACAGUGUUUGUGCAUCUCUGAAUCUGUUAAGUAUCAGGAACAUUAUAAGUACCUUAUUUGACCAUAACAUAUGCGAAUACAAUGUCUUAGAAGGAACAGAGUUCACCGGUAACCUAGACUUGUCUGGUAAGAAUUUACCUCUUCUUGUGUUUGUCGUUUUGUAAGCUUAUAUCGCACAGAUGGAUCUGCGUCGUUUAUAACAAUCUCGCGUGCAAUGACCUCAUCUGGUAGUUUUGCCUAAUAGUACAUAAGUAGUGACAUAGAUGCACUCAGAUAGCCCUAGAUUAUAAUUGUCCACAUAGUACCUCUCAGAGCUUAAAAAAACAGUAUUGUAUGAAACUAAAUCACACCUGACUCAAUUUCUGAACUGCAGCAGCAGCACUCGGGAGCACCGAUGGCGCAAUAUGGGGCGGCAACGAAUGUGGAACAGGGACUACACUUGGCAAUGUAGCAGCUCCAUAUGCCGUGACGCCGGGCAGUGCAGCGCCAGGAAGAGCACA